Molecule: long non-coding RNA, 52603 nt
Filed under: Arabidopsis lyrata
Lineage: Eukaryota; Viridiplantae; Streptophyta; Magnoliopsida; Brassicales; Brassicaceae
Description: long non-coding RNA (ALYR_LNC002565)
Source: RNAcentral
AAGAUUUUAGGUAAGUAUCUACCUAAGAUGUUAACAAUACACUUAAUGAGAUGAACAAAUUUUCAAUUAUCGAACUAACAAUUAGGUUUCACGAGUUGGAUUAGAUAUGAGAAGAUAUGUUAACAAUACAAAUACAAUUAUCAAUUUACGAGUUCUGUGAGAUUGAGUUACAUAUGUGAAGAUGAUAACAUUAUUAUUAAUGUGGUAACAAAAACAUGAAAUACCGAGAUGUUAACUAUAAUCAUCAAGAUAGUGAGCAUCUGCCAAUUAAUGGUCUGGAAACUUGGUUAUCUCUAAUAAUAAAAUUAAGCCGGUAAUACCAAUUUUAAUCUAGUAAAACUAUAGUUAGUAUGUUAUCAACCCUCACAUCUUCUUCAGCGUCAGACCAAGAUAAAUAUUUCUCCGCAUUCAUCUCAGUGUCAGGACAAAUGAUGGGAUAAACGUGGAUAUGCGGACUCGAUGUUGAUAUAUUACUAUGCUAAUAAUGAUAAUAAUGAGCAGAAAGAUGAUAAUAAAAAACAUAACUUGAAAGGUCUCAAUGUUAGCGUGUAAAAAUUCUAUUAACAUGGUUACUAAAACGUUGUCCGCUAAGUCUGUUAGAAUACUUUUUAUAACUCACCCACCUUUUUGCAUCUAAAUCUUUCGCGUUGUCAAACUUAUCGACGAGAGAAAAAAAAUUAGAAAUCGUGAUCAAGUUAACACUAGACUUAUCGAGUAGAGAAAGUCCUCGAAAAACCCUAAAAAUAAUUCACUCUAAUCAGGUAGUGUUUAAAUUCUGAACCAAUCGAUAUAAAAUGAAAACACUAGGUCUGAAAUUUAAGACAAUUGCCUUCACCGUUUUAGACUUCAAAAAAGAUGCUGAUUAGAUUUUCCAGAAACAAGACGCUUGCUUUUGAACAAAAAAGAUUCAGUUUCUUUGAUUCUCCAAACAAAAAUAAUUCCUGAAAAAAGGUGGUGAUUAGAAUUUCUGAGACAUAAUUUAAUUUAAAUUAUAUUGAAUUUCUCCAAAAAAAUCAAAUAAAAAUAUCUUAUUCAUGCCAUCUCACACAAUUCAGCUAUAUCCUAAAAUUAUUCUUUGGCAAAUAUAUAGGUGUGCAAUCGUCAAUUAUACAUAUACAUUGUUUGCCACAUAUUGUCUUGUUGUGUCAGUUAAUUUUCGAGUCCUCUUGGUACAUAUCUUCAUAAUAUCCAUAAAUGUAAUUGGAUUUAUAAUAUAAUUUUUAUAUUUCACAAUCAUCAACAUACAUGACAAUAUUAAUACAUUAUACAUUUUUAUAUAAUAUUAUAUCAAGUUUAAACAAAAUAUACCUAACAUCAUAAAGACAAACUUCAAUGUCGUCUCCUCUAUUUGUUUCGCCUUCCCGUUAGCAUUCCCGUGCAUAAUCCCUAUAAGCAUGUGUAUGUGUAUGAAAAAUUGAAAUUUUUUUACAAAUACAACAGUCUCAAUCCAAGUCUUAAACUAACAUGAUAUCCCUGUUUCUCCCAUCAUGGUCCAAGCAAGAUUGUAUUUCUAGAAACCUUAUUGAUCCAAUCAAAGUGUUCGAUUUUUUGAUGACUGUUGAACCAUUCACUUUAUCAUUUUCCUUAGAAGGUAUAAUCAAAGAAGUUCGGUUUGUUGCAAGACUGUCUUUUGAAAUAUCUUUAUUAACCACGAGAACUGCAUUGUUUGGGGGCUAUCUUUUGCCUAUCAAGAACAUAGAAUAACAUAUAUGUCUUCUGGAUUGAACAUAUCCUCCCCACUAACUUGGGAAACCUACAACAACAAUGUAAAGAGGGACUUAGUACUAGCCACGUCAACAAGAAACUACUAACUACAUGUACAAUAGCAAAUACAAAAAUUUGUAAUCCAAAGAACGUAGAACACACAAUAAUGUAAAGAGGCAAUUAGUACUAGCCAUGUCAACAAGAAUGUACUAGGUGUAGGUACAAUAUCAAAAAAAAAAAAUUGUAACCUAGAGACGUAGAACACUGCUACUUACCUUAUUGUCAUUAAGGUAAUAUAAUAUUCCACUUGAAGUACGAACAAAGCAGGCAUAGUGACCAGAAUCCACGUCUUCACCUAGGUUGCAUGGAAUCAAAAGCGGGUACGCGGAAGCGAAGCGUUUGGAAACGUGGAAGCGAUUUUUAUAGAAAUUAUAGAAAGUGGGUACGUGUUGGAAGCGUAUAUAAAAAUUAAUAUAUAUAUAUAUAUAUACAUAUAUAAUAAAUAUUAAACAUUAUAUCAUAUAAAAAAUUAUAAUUAACAUACAAAUCUAAUACAUAAAUUCUAAAUAUCUCUCUAUAUUUAAAAAUCAAAUAGUGUACGUUUACAAUAGAGAAAAGUCAAAUAGUUCAAAGUCAAAAAUUUAAGAUCAUUCUUCAUUCUCAUUUUACUAAUUCCAUCAAAUAAAAUUGUUUUAAAUUUUUUUUACCAAUAAAAACAUCAUCAAACUCAAAUUUCUCAAAUUUAAUUUAAUUCAAUUAAUCAUUUCAACAUCUCCCUAAUAAAUGAUUCAUGCUGCUAUCAUUUUUCUAACUAUGAUAUUUAAAAAAAUAAAAUACAAAAUUAGUAUGCAAAAUUAGUUUUGGUUUUUCUUUUGUUCUAUAAAAAAACUAUCAAAAAUAAUUUCAUAUUUCUUAUUUAUUUUGUGACAUCAAAUUUUUUAAAUGGAAUCGCAAGCUUCCAAAAUAGAAUCGUAAGCUUCCAAGGAGCUUCCAAAUUGAAUUUUUUAGAAGCGUUAUGGAAGCGAGAUUCCGAAAGCUUCUGAGAGCUUCCGAUUCCGACUAAGAUUCCGAAGCGGGAAGCGGACGUCCGACGAAGCUUCCGUGCUUCCUAGGUCUUCACCAUAAUACAUCGAAUUACCUUUUUGUUCAAUAAAAGUAUUGUAUUGUUACAAAGGAAAUCAUGAAGCUCAAAGAUUAAAAAAAUACAUGAACAAGAUUGUCUUAACAAUUGUAAGGACAUGUCAAUUCUAUGGAAUAUAGAGCACAAGUCGAAGUCUACUUACGUAGGGACCACUAACAAAAGGUUUCAUGUCAAUCAUGUUGAGGAAAAAUCGACAUUUUUGUCGAUUUUUCUUAAUCUAUGAGUUUUAAACCGUUUGAGAUGUACCGUUAGAACUUGAAGGGUUUAGAAAUAAUUAAAUUCAUUUUAUCCCUAACCAGCAACUAUUAAUGCAUAUGAAAAAUAAUUUAAUAGUUGGACAAGUUACGAAUAUACUAAUUUUUAGAACUAGAGAUGUAAUUUACCUUUCACCAUUUUUAGUUUACUUAUUUUGAUAUUAUAUUAAUUAACUAUAAGAAUAAUAGAUAUUUAUCAAAAUUACUAUAUAGUAAAGAAACUUUUUUAGUUAUAUAUUAAUAAAGAAUAUUAUUUUCAUGUGAUGUUUGGCGAUUAAUGUUAGAGCAAAAGUAGUUCUAAAACUAACUAAAAAUGGUGUAUUUCGACACCAAAAUGUUGUAUAUCCAUAAAAAUGGCUUAACUACCAUCAAUACAUGAUAAUCGUAUGAAAAAGAUGAUAGUUGUUGUUUGCUUUGUUUGUACAAAUGGACUUGGUAAGUGUAGAAAUGAGAUUCACUAUGUAAUGCCACAACUGCCUCUACCAAUGAGCAUCCAUAUCCUCUCUCGGAUCCAUAGCCUCACCCUGUAUAACGGUCGGUCUGUUGCGUCCGAGAGGCUUUGUUUACCGAUCCUACCAAUCACCACAAAAUCUUUCUCUGUGUUUUGUCCUCACUCACACGGUUUCGAUAAUCACUUCCCAGAAGAUUAUUCAUCCUGAAAUUGCUCAAGUUCAAGCACGCCUAACUGUGGAGUUCUCUCAGGACGUUUUGACCGAAAAGAUAAGUGCACUUUAGUGAUAUAAAUGGCCAAAUCAAUAUUUUUAAACCUCCCCACAUUCACCACAAUAUUAAUGAAACCGAGGUGUUAUAAUUCACUCCCACUAACAAAUAGCAAAGUCUUCGUUGCGCACCAAGACCGUCACCCCUGAAGGUGUGAGCCCUCUUGACUCUACACUCGCAUGGGUUUGGCUCUAAUACCACUUGUAAGGCCUCAACCGCCCCUACAGUGAGAAUCCACAUCCUCACUCAGGCCCAUGGACCCCGCCCCUGUUCUACGGGCGGUCCGCUAAGUCCAAGAGGCUUUAAAGACUUGUUUACCUAUCCUACAAAUUACCACAUGAUAUUUCUCCGUGUUUUGUCUUCAUUCACACUGUUCCCACAAUCACAUCCCGAAAGGUCACUCAUCCUGAAAUUAUUCCAGCUCAAUCACGUUUAACUGUAGUAGAGUUAUCUCAGGACGCUUGACUGAAAAGAUAAGUGUACUUUGGUGAUAUAGGUGGUCAACUCAAUACUUUUAAACCUCUCCGCAUGCACAAUCAUAUUCUUGAAACCUAAAUGUUAUACACUACAUUUAUCUUGUCAAUCGUACGAUAUUUAUUAGCUACAUUUAAAAUAAUAUUUAAAUUGAUUAUUUUUAUUUUAUAAUUUUUAAUAUUGUGAAAAACUUAAAAUUAUAAUGUUAUUUUUUUCUUAAUUUUAAUGGAGCCUCAAAAUUUAUUGGUCCGGCUCUGGCUUCAGCUCAUAUUUAGAUCAAUGAAAUCUCUUACCCAAAUAAAAUGUACAUUUUUUUAAAGCUAAAAAGAACUGAUAUAUAUAUAUAUAUAUAUAUAUAUAUAUAUAUAUAUAUAUAUAUAUAUAUAUAUAUGAAUUAUUUUCCCUUUUUAGUAUAUAAAUUGUGUUUACAAGCCAAUGCUUUCAUAAAUUUGGGAUCUUAUUCCAAGCAAAUAUAUUUUUUAACCAUAAACUAUAAAAUAAAAAUUAUAUUUUGAUGGGACAACUCAAGUUUUCAUAUUGAGUACAUUUAUAGACUAAAUUUUAUUUUUUAUCAUAUAUUUUCUUGGACUUGACAUUAAUUAAUUAACUUCAUCUAUUUUUCAAGCUAAUUGAAUUUUAUGAAAAAAAAAAAAAAAAAAACGAAGAAGUUAUUUUGCAAAUUCAUAAAAAGCCCAUAAGAGAAAACUUGAAUAGAACCAAAACCCAACAAAACCCAACAAAACCCAAACUUAGCGUCUCUCCUUUCUCUUCUUCUUCUUCGUCUUCUGUGUCUUUUUCCAAACUUUUGCUGUGCGCUUUUUUUUGUCCAAAGAAUCAAUAUUCUUUUGCCCUCUCACACGAGUCAUAUUUACCUUUUUGCCACAACAAUCAUGGCGGCGACGGCGGUGGUCUGGCAACCCCGAGACGAUGGUCUCGCUGAGAUCUGUUCUCUUCUCGAACAACAGAUUUCUCCUUCCUCCGUCGUUGACAAGUCUCAGAUUUGGAAGCAGCUUCAACACUUCUCUCAGUUCCCUGAUUUCAACAACUAUCUCGUCUUCAUCCUCGUUCGCGCUGAGGUUUUCCAACUUUUCUCUACUCUCUCUUCUCUUCCUGAGGUUUUUUUUUCUCCGUAUUGACUCAAUCUACUUGUCGAAUGAGCUCGGAUCGUUGAAUUUUCCUAAGAAUCUCUUCGUUUCUUCUCUUCGUUAUUAGUUUCUGUGUUUUGUGCCCUAAUGGAUGGAUAUAUCUCCUUAUUGAUCAUAUUCGUCUAUGUCAAUAGUUGGUGUUUAUGUUGUAUGACCUUUGUGAUUCAAUUGACUUGAAGUUUACUUGUAUCCAAAUAACAUAAAUGUUGUUUAUUUAGUUGCAUUUACAUGCUCUAAUUGCAGAUCCUAGACAAGAACUCAUUAGGUUUUAUGCAUUUGUAUCUAAAUAUCUGUUUCCUAGCUGAUGUGUGCUUGUACGAUGAUCAGGGAAAGUCCGUAGAGGUUCGUCAAGCUGCUGGAUUGCUUCUGAAAAAUAAUUUGAGGGGUGCUUAUCCAUCCAUGGCUCAAGAAAAUCAAAAAUAUAUCAAGUCGGAGUUGCUGCCUUGUCUUGGAGCAGCGGACAGGAAUAUCCGGACCACAGUUGGAACUAUCAUCAGUGUUAUUGUUAAUAUAGAGGGAGUUUCUGGAUGGCAUGAGCUUUUGCCAGCUCUUGUUACUUGUUUAGACAGUAAUGACCUAAAUCACAUGGAUGGUGCCAUGGAUGCAUUGUCAAAGGUAUGUAGCAGCUGUGCUUUACCUUUUCUGUUUCUUGCUCUUGUUUGUUGAACCUUUGGUUUAUGAACCAUAAGCCUGUGUAAUCCAAAGUUCUGAUUGUUGGUUGUGAUCUAUUUGGAAUUCUUUCAAAGUUUUUGUAAUAUCUACAUUUUGUGUUCUUAUCGAUCAGAUUUGUGAGGAUAUCCCGCAUGUCUUGGAUACAGAAGUGCCUGGCUUAGCAGAACGCCCUAUCAACAUUUUCCUGCCUAGGCUAUUUCAGGUAAACAUCUCAUAUUCCUACACAGAUUUCGGAACUUGGUUGUAGCACUUGUUUAGGUUCUAUUUUGAUUUCUUUUCGUCCUGUUGCAUUGGUUGCGAUAAGAUUGAUUACCACUCUUUUGUUUGAGCAGUUUUUUCAGUCACCCCAUGCUUCACUGAGGAAGCUUGCCCUGGGUUCUGUGAACCAAUAUAUCAUAAUCAUGCCUGCUGUAAGUAUUGCAAAGACUACUUGUAAAGCUUUGUUUUUGUUUUAUAUGUUAUAAAGGACCGUGGAUGGUAACAAUCGACGUUUGGCAGGCUUUGUACAAUUCCAUGGAUAAGUACCUUCAGGGGUUGUUUGUCCUCGCAAAUGAUCCUGUAGCAGAAGUCAGAAAAUUGGUAUGCGUCUUAUUUAAGCUUCUAUCAAUUGUUUCUUAUUUUUGUCAGUACAGGAGAGGGUUAUUUCGUCUUCGAAGAAUUGGUUUCUUUAGCUGACAUAUGAUUCAAUCAGAUUCCCAUCUCAUAUCGGAUGUUCUUAUGCUUCUGUAAUAAUGUCUUUUCUUCCUUUUCUAAAAGGUCUGCGCAGCAUUUGUGCAUCUCACAGAAGUACUCCCCUCAUCCAUAGAGGUAUUUCUCAUUGAGGUUUUAUUAUACACAUUGCUUCAAAUCUAUUCCAAAGUGUCCCUUGUUUUGAGGUACUUCAUAUGUUUAGUUUGAGUAUUUCGUCUACCCUGCAUCUCAGAUUUGUCUUCGUCUCUUAUUUUCUAUUUCAGCCGUAUCUCAGGAAUGUCAUGGAAUACAUGUUACAAGUUAACAAUGACCCUGACGAAGAAGUGUGUCUUGAAGCAUGUGAAUUUUGGUAAAAUGUUAUUCUCUUUGUUUGCUUUAUAGAUGACGGUUUUAUACCUGUUUUUCUCUUAUGUUCCAUCCUUGUCCUCAUUUAAUAACAUAAAGCUAUAUUGUUGUUUGGCAGGUCUGCAUACUGUGACGCCCAGCUGCCUCCAGAGAACCUGAAAGAGUUUCUGCCUGGCCUAAUUCCAGUUUAGUGAUACUUCUCCUUUUCUUCAGUAUAUGUUAGAGAUAGAAUCCCAAAACCAGAAUAAAACUCAAAACUCUCUUUAUUAAAACUAAGAUAAAGAUACUGUAACAAGAAUAGAGCAAAAGCUCCCAAGAGAACUAUGUUCUCUUCCUCUCGGCCUAACCUGAUCAAAUCCUCCAAAGCUCUCUAUUGCUUGGAUAGGCUUCACAAACAUAAACCCUUAUUUAUAAUAAAACGUAAAGUAAAAUACUCUAGGAAAAGUAAAUAAGAAAAUGGAAAUCCUAAACUAUUUGCUAAAUCAUAAAAUAGGAAGUAUUCGUAUCAGUAUAUUUUUGGGCACUUAAUAAUUUACUCAGCUGGUGUAGCUUGUAAUGUUCAUAAAAUAUAUCUGUUUUAGGUGUUGCUUGCAAACAUGGCUUAUGCAGAUGACGACGAGUCACUUUUGGAUGCAGAGGUUGUUUUUCUGUUGUUAUUAUAUGUUUUGUCACCUUUCUCAAUAUAAUUGCCAUCUAUAUAUAUGAAAACUGCUCACUUUUUCAGGAAGAUGAGUCACAACCAGACAGAGAUCAGGUGCAGUUGUUUGUUCUUGUGUCUUUGAUUUUUCUUAUAAUUUUUUCCUCUUCAAUUUUCAUUCAUUUUGGUUCCCCUACAGGAUUUGAAACCUCGUUUUCAUACAUCAAGACUUCAUGGAUCAGAAGAUUUUGAUGAUGAUGUACGUGAUUUACUUUUUUGUGUCAUUUGAUAUCUGUACAGAAAAGCAUGUGUUAUAUGAUACAAAAAUAUUAAUUCUAUAGAUCCCUCUUUAAUGACUGUCUCUGGGUACAGGAUGAUGACUCGUUUAACGUGUGGAAUUUAAGAAAGUGUAGUGCAGCAGCUAUUGACAUUCUCUCUAAUGUAUUUGGAGAUGAAAUCCUUCCAGCAAUCAUGCCCCUAAUUCAGGUAAAUGUUAUUCCUCUUAGUCUUUUUGAAAUGAACACAAUUAGCUAAACCCUGUUCUUCCAAGCUGCAGACAAAUUUAUCAGCCUCUGGUGAUGACGCCUGGAAACAAAGGGAAGCUGCUGUUUUGGCUCUCGGGGCUAUUUCUGAAGGCUGCAUGAAUGGUCUUUACCCUCAUUUGUCUGAGGCAAGUUCGUUUUUGAUCCACAUCAUCUCAUAUAUAUGAUUUUUCUCUGCUCAGUUGAUAUACAUCAACAUGCGAACGCUUUAUUUCUACAGAUUGUGGCAUUUCUUCUUCCUCUUUUAGAUGAUAAAUUCCCGCUGAUACGAAGCAUAUCUUGCUGGACGCUUUCUCGAUUUGGCAAGUAUCUUAUCCAGGUAUGACUGGAACAGGAUAUUUCACACUUUAACUGCUUCAAACGGUCUUUAGAUGAUUCACUGUUUUAUUUUCUAGGAAAGUGGCAAUCCGAAGGGUUAUGAACAAUUUGAGAAAGUUCUUAUGGGUCUUCUCCGCAGACUCUUGGAUACGAACAAGCGGGUCCAGGAGGCUGCCUGUUCAGCUUUUGCAACUGUUGAAGAGGUACCUAUUGGCUUUGCAAUGUGGGUUUUGGUGUUAUUUGUCGAUGUUGGUUGACCAUGUGAAUCUUCUAUGAACGUGUAGGAUGCUGCCGAAGAGUUAGUGCCACACCUGGGGGUAAUACUGCAGCAUCUGAUGUGCGCUUUUGGAAAGUAUCAGGUCAUUAAAUUCUCUUAAACUGCUUUGCCAGACUAAAUAUCCGUGGUGGCUAUUAUCUACUUCAAACCAUUGUUUACCUAACAUACAAUUUUCAUAUACCAGAGACGAAACUUAAGAAUUGUUUAUGAUGCUAUUGGAACACUGGCAGAUUCAGUUAGAGGAGAGUUGAACAAGGUAUAACAAUUGGGUUUGUACAAGGUUAAUCUGAUCUUGUAAAUUUAGAUCCUUGACUAGUAGUUUUUCAAUUCCAUAUACUGGUGGUAGUAUAAUUUUUUUUUGUUGCCUACUUAUUAUUCCUCUCUUAUGCAGCCUGCUUAUCUUGAGAUUCUGAUGCCCCCACUGGUUACAAAGUGGCAACAGCUUUCCAAUUCAGAUAAAGAUCUAUUUCCAUUGCUAGAGUGCUUCACAUCCAUUUCUCAGGUAUGGGCUACUUGUCAAGGUCUUAAGAAUAUCUGUAAGGUCUUGUAUCUGUUGCACGAAUGAAACUAUCCUUGAUGAUCCUACUCAGUGAAGUUAUAGUGUUGGUAGUUUUAAGAUCACUGAAAAAGAAUCCUGGGGGUUGUGGGUCAGCUAAAAAUCCAAAACUUCCAGCAUUUGAUCAACGAUUAUUUUUGGAAGCCUGAAACUGCUACUAAUAGAAGGAUAUAUCAGUUAUGAUGCCUGACAAGUUAAUCUUGACCUAAAAUUAGACUGGUUGCAGCAUGAACUCUCUAUGUCUAACAAAUUGUGUUUCCAUGUUUCAGGCUUUAGGUGUAGGAUUCGCUCCAUAUGCUCAGCCUGUUUUCCAGAGAUGCAUGGAUAUCAUCCAAUUGCAGCAGCUGGCUAAGGUUCCAUUCAGAAUUCUGCGAUUUCAUCUCAUUUGAGAAUUAGAGUGACUUUUCCAGUUUCCUUCGUCACAGGCUUGCAUGUACAUAACUAUUGCAUGUUUUUGUUUUCCGUUUGAUCAAAGCUCGCUUCUGUUGUUUGUAGGUUGAUCCUUCUUCUGCGGGGGCUCAGUAUGACAGAGAAUUCAUUGUUUGUUCUCUUGAUUUGCUUUCUGGACUUGCUGAAGGACUUGGCAGUGGGAUAGAGUCUCUGGUACUUCUUUUUCUUUAUGUCUUGCUCUUACAAUCUAUUAUGCAUAAGUUCUAACUAAGUGGAUAACUUUUAUAACUGCUCUGAUCAUUGUUGUUCGUAUAACAUGAUCAAGUGGAUGGUUGUGUCUAAUGUAUUGUGGUAUAACAUAAUUGAGUUGAUUUCCAAAACCGGAUAUAUUCUUAUUAUGUUGCUCUUAUGCAGGUUUCACAAAGUAACCUAAGGGAUCUGCUUCUCAAUUGUUGCAUUGAUGAAGCUCCUGAUGUCAGACAAAGUGCUUUUGCCCUAAUGGGUGAUCUCGCAAGAGUAAGCCACAUAUUCUUUUAUUCUUAUUUUACUUUUAACAUAAAGAAACAGUAAGGGAAGUGAAGUUAUGUGAGAUUAUAUGUUAUAAUUCCGACUCCCUUUUGCUAGUUAUAGUAGUGAAAUAAUGCUUUUUGGCUACUACCGACAGGUAUUCCCGGUCUAUCUACAACCCCGCCUGCUUGAUUUCCUUGAAAUUGCAAGCCAGCAACUGGUUCGUAUCCAAGUUUUAUUGAUACUAUACCUAUUCUCUUCUUCUAUGGCACUGAUCAUAUCUAUGCUUUGUACAGAGUACAAACCUCAAUAGAGAAAACCUUUCUGUCGCAAAUAAUGCUUGUUGGGCCAUUGGAGAAUUAGCGGUCAAGGUAAUACCAAAAUACUAUUUCUUCUAUUGUUGCUUGAAGUUUCUGGUUAAGAGCAGACUCACUGAUAUGAACUCAAUGUUUCAGGUUCGUCAAGAAGUUUCACCAAUAGUGGCCAAAGUUGUCUCUUCCCUAGGCCUGAUUCUUCAACAUGGAGAGGUGACUCUAGCAGCCUAUAAAUUUGACCUCUUGGCCACGUCUAAGUCUAUCAAAUAACUGCGGUAUUUGAUGAGUAUGCCUAAUUUUAUUCUCUUGUGAAGCAGGGUGUCAAUAAGGCACUAGUUGAGAACAGUGCAAUUACCCUUGGGAGACUAGCAUGGAUACGUCCAGACCUCGUUGCACCACACAUGGAGCACUUUAUGAAGCCAUGGUGCAUGGCAUUGUCAAUGUUAGGGAACCUCUGUGUUAUUUUGGAGUCUUUUUCCAACUUCUGCUCCAUAGAACAAUUUCUUAUCAUACUUUCUUUUCAGGGUACGUGAUGACAUUGAGAAAGAAGAUGCAUUUAGAGGAUUAUGUGCAGUGGUAUUGCUCUCUACUCUUUUCUUUGUGCUCGAAACAUGAAUAAGUUUGAUAUUUACAAGUGUUCUCCACAAAUUUAGGUUAAAGUGAAUCCAUCAGGAGGUGUCAGCUCACUUGUUUUCAUAUGCCAAGCCAUUGCGAGUUGGCAUGUAAGUGAACAGAAACCAAACUGUUCUAAAAUCAAUAUUGUUACCGAGCUUUGGAACAAUUGGUUGUGAUACACAAAUAUCAACUUUCUUUUUUAUCAUAGGAAAUAAGAAGCGAGGACGUCCAGAACGAAGUCUCCCAAGUACUGAACGGUUAUAAACACGUAAGCUAUGCUGAAUUUAAGUUCAGUGUUUAACAAUCCUAAGCGGUUACUCCCGUACAUUAGAAGUGAUCUGAAGUCAAAUGACUAAUGCCUUUUAAUUUAUUUUGGGUUCAGAUGCUGGGAAACUCAUGGGCGGAAUGUUUAUCUGCUUUGGAUCCUCCCGUAAAGGAAAUGCUUGCGAGAUAUCAAGUGUAACAUUGAUCGUACACCGGUUUGUAUUAGAGGAAUAUGCUCUAGCUUAUUCAUUGCAAACAACAAAUAGAGUCACAGAGUUUGAGCAAAAGCGCUUGAGACAUCAUAUUUUUUUGCAAGAUUCAACGAAGGGCAAAAAUUUCGCAAGAGAAGACAUACAGUACAGAGUAUGGGUGUGUGUGUGCUCUUCAGAUUACAUGGUUGGAAUUUUUUUACGUCCUGUCUUUAUUUUUAAUCCUAUUUCUACAUCGAUUCUUCGUCCUCUUUUGUUUUGCGGGCAACGUUGUAUGGUGGUUUGAGCAGUUUUGGUAAGAUUUCUAAACCGAAAGAGCUAAGCAAAGUCAAGAUUUAUUGUUCUUCAGCUUGUGUGAACUAUUAAACCUGUGGAUACCAAUAAGAAAAUGUGAUUGGGAUUUUGUGUAUUGUCUUCCAUCAUUCUUCAGUUGCAUUUACGUUUUUCACCUCUUCACAAUAAUGGUAUCUCAAUAGUCAACUGUUUAAGUAUGAUUCGAAGUUCCCAUGAUCUCCCUGAAUUCAAUAUCUAAAUACUAUUGCGGUCUAUUGUACAUUUGCAAUGUUUUUAGGGCUAAAACAUGAGUUUAUCAAUAUAACGGGUAAAGAUAAUUGUAUAAUAAAUACUAAAGGGUAACAAUGUGCAAUAAUAACAUAUGUAUUAGUUUGGCAUUUAUAAGCUGUCACCAUAAAUUCAGGUUAAAGUGGAUCCAUUAGAAGUUUCUGACUCGCUUUAUUACAUAUGUCAAGCCAUUGCGAGUUGGCACGUAAGUAAACAGAAAACUAACUCUGACCCUCCUAGCUAUAUUUAAAUUCAAUCUCGUUACAGAGAUUUGGAACAAUUGGAAAUAAGAAGUGAGGACGUAAAGAAUGAAGUCUCCCAAGUGUUGAACGUUUAUAAAAACGUAAGAUAUACGUACUUUGAGUUCAGUGUUUAACCAUUUCAAGUGCUUAGUUUCUCAUUUACAUAUAUUUGAAGCAAUCUGAUGUCAAAUUAUUAAUGUCUUUGAUUUAAUUUUAUGUGUUCAGAUGCUAGGAGGAAACUUAUGGGAGCAAUGUCUCUCUUUUUUGGAUCCUCCUGUGAAGGAAAGGCUUGCGAGAUAUUAAGUGUAACAAUGAUUUUACACCGGUUUAGUCUCAAAACAAUGUCGCUUAUUCUCAUUGCACUCAUUGAUCAAUAACUAGAGUGACAAAGUACUUUGAGCAAAAGGUGUUUUAUUAGUUGCAUUUACAUUUUUAAAUCCAAAAUGUGAUUGUUUGGAUUUGGAUCCAUGGUAUACACAAGCAAAAUUGGAUCAAUGAGAACUCUGUUAAUUAAGUUGUAGUUUCAUUAAAAAUACUAUAUUUCUUUUAUCAACAUAAGAUAAUUAAUGUUUUCGUUUUACCAAAAAAAAGAGGAGAAAAUAUAGAUACUAACCAUGAAAACUAAAAGAAUUAACAAACUAAUUAGGGUUUUGUGCAAAAAAAAUCCCUCCAACUCGCCCAUUUUUGUAACUUUACCAUUCAUCUCCGGAAAAUGUAGAUUAAUUAUAUGAAGUCUAAAAUAAUACGCAAUGUAACCCUUAUUCGCUACCGUCAAGUUCGUAAAAUUUUGACAAAUAAUAUGUCAAAUCGAAUCCCUCGGGAUGAAGAGUUCAACUUUACUUUCAGAAUUAUAAAAACUAAUGUAUGUGACCCGAAAAACGUUUACAAUAUACGUAUAAUACAUAUAAUGGUUAUAUUGCGUAUUAUUUUAGACUUCAUAGGAUUAAUCUGUAUUUUUCGGAGAUGAAAGGUAAAACUGCAAAAAUAGGCGAGUUGGAGGAUUUUUUUGCGCAAAAUCCAACUAAUUAUUAUGAGUUAUAGUGUUUUGUUAGAGGAGUAGAGGAAAUGACCAUUUAACUUUCAUUCACAUUUUCUCUGUCUCAUCAUCUCUCUCAAAUCUUUUAAUCUGAUUUCCCCCACAAACUUUUGCUGCAAAUCUUUCGCCGGAACACUAAAUCGUCGAAUCGCUACCACCACCACCACCACCUCCACUCUAAUCAAAUCUAAUCUCUCACUAUCGUCAUCAACACAACAUCCACCACCAUCAACACAGCAUCUACCACCAUCUUCAACACCACCACCACCAAUCAUAUUUAAUCUCCCACCGGCCACCACAACCACCAAGCACCACUCCCACUCCAAUCAAAUCUAAUCUCCCACCAUCGCCAUCAACAUAACCUCCACCACCAUCCUAAACGUCACAAAUCAGAUUUAGUAUCCCAUCACCACCACCACCAAACCACCACCCCCACUCCAGUCAAAGUAUUGGGAUAUAUACAUAUUUAUGUUAAUAAGUAUAUUUCGGAGAUAUAUCUUGCGGAGAAUAACUUGAUCUCCAAGUUUAGUUUACCUAAUAUUCAUGUGUCUAUAUAUUGCGAUGUAACCGUGUCAUAUGAACAAAAGAGAAUACAUUCUUCUAAACCUAGUCGUCUCUAGUUUCUACAUGGUAUCAGAGAAACGCUCAUGAUUCAUUGAUCUCUCUUUAAUUUCAAAAAUUCUCUUUUGUUUUCGUGUUUACUACUCUAUUUUCUUUGUCGAUCUUUGAUUAAGAUAAAAAAACAUGUUCGAUGGCUAGUGAGGAUCUAUCGAUGGUGCCUAAGGUUAUCGACACUACAAAAGUCACACCUUAUUCAAUGUUCUCUGGUGACAAUCCGGGAUAUAUGAUUUCCUCUGUUCAAUUGACCGGAGAAAAUUAUGCGGAGUGGGCAACAGAGAUGCUCAACGCUCUCAAAACCAAGAGGAAAUUAGGGUUUAUUGAUGGUUCCAUCAAGAAACCCGCAGCUGGAGAUCCGGAAUGGAUUCUUGGACAAGUGUGAACUCGAUGGUUAUUGGAUGGCUGAGAACUUCAAUAAUCACUCGUGUUUGUUCGACGGUGUCAUUCACCUCGGACGCGUCUGAGUUAUGAGACAGUUUGAAGAAGUUCUCGGUUGGGAACAAGGUGCGAACCCAUCAGAUUUUGUGUCAGCUUGCGGCGUGUCGUCAAGAUGGCCAAUCCGUGAUUGAUUAUUACGGAUGUCUUGUUGUCUUGUGGAUGAUCUCCACAGUUAUCGUCCUCUUCCUGUGUGUACCUAUGUGUACCUGUGGUGCCGGUGACGUAUUCGCAAAGGAAAGAGAGGAUGAGAAAGUGCAUCAGUUCGUUAUGGGUCUUGAUGAGUCUCGUUUUGGUAAUGUGAUUUGUGCAAUCGUUGACGCGGAUCCGAUGCUUGAUUUGGUACAAGGUUAUGCUAAUGUGAUCUAAGAGGAGCAGAGACUUGCGGCAUUGAAGAAAAAGGAGCAACAGCUGGACGCAAUCGGGUUUGUUACUCGCCAUGAAUCUUCUACGUCUGAUUCUUCUUUGAUGACCGGUGAUGCCUCUGGUUUUGCAACACGAUUUUCUCCAAGUGGUAGAAAAAACAGAGACCGUAACUUUGCGUGUCCCAACUAUGGAAGGCAGGGACAUGAAAAAGAAGUAUGUUGGCAGAUCGUUGGAUAUCCCGAGUGGUGGAUAGAACGAAACAAGUCUGGUGGAAGUCAUGGUUCAAACCGUGGACGUGGAUCAACAUCUGGACCCUCUGGUCGAGGCCGUGGAUUCACUAUAGUGGCUCACGCCACCAGUCCUGAUGCCUCUGCAUUCUCAUUGUUGGGGUCGGAUCCCACACAUCUUCGGUAGGAUCCACUUGGAUCUGUCCACGUCAUUAUUACAUAAUAAUCCUCUUGGAUUUCUAGAUAUUUCAUUGCGAGAAUCGAGCUCGACCUGUCGGAAGUUCGAUUCAGUUUAUUAAAGAGCUCGAUCUUUACCAGUACGGAGUUCGCUCUUAUUCAACAUAUAGUUCGCAUAAAAGAAGGCCGAAGCGAGGAGAAUAUUGUUCGAGGUUCGCGGCAGCGUCAAGACGCAGGAGUUUGGAGUCAACAAGAAAGAGUUCGGAAGAUCCACGCGAAGCCCAAUAUAGUUCAAAUUCAAGCCGUUUCGGUCAAAUUGUAACCUACAUGAUUAAUGCGGAUCAAUGCGAUUAUGAGCAGUAAAUGACCGCAAUGAUAAUGUUUUCUCUAUAAAAACAACCUCAAACGCAUGUGUUUGGGAGAGAACAACUUUUUACCUCUUACGAUCAAGCAAUACAACAUACUCUUUCUUUUACAAUUUCGCAAGGCUUUUUACUAUUUUAUUCUUGUCAAACUCUUUCGCUUUAUUUAGUUUCUUGGUUACUUUCCUUUUUAAAUCCUUAUUUUCAUUUGUUGAUUUUAGAGUUUUUCUCCACAAAAUUACUUAAAGACAAACGAGUGUGAAUCCUACAUCCACAUUUUGGCGCCGUCUGUGGAGAGUUACCGUAAAACUCUUUAAUCUCAAAAUCUCUCUUUUUCAAACCAAGAAACUAUGGCUGAUCAGCAAGCUUUGAGCAAUGCAAUUGCCUUGCUUACUCAGUCAACCACUGAUCUGACCAAUCAGAUGGGUAUACUCGCUAGUGCCAACGCCACUUUUGGUGAAAGGUUUGUUGGGGUCGGAUUCCAUCCUUUAGCGCCAAGCCAGACUUAGAAUACUUCGGGAAUCUUUCGGCGAUCGCCUCGGUUGUGGAUGUCGGAAUCCGCAAUACGAAUUUUAAGAUAUAACUCGGGCCGUCUAGCCUUGCUAAUUCGAACAGCAAUCGUCAAAGAGAAAAUAAAAGAGUGAAGUAUGUGUAUUCGUUUAUUGCUCAAGAAAAAUCCCCCCCUCUACAAUGGUUUUCGUUUCCUAUUUAUAAUUACAAGAUUUGAAACCGAAAUCGCUCGUCAAGCCGCAGAUCUCGCCUUCUUUACUGUUUCCGUUUCGAAUCUUCCCGAUCUGGCAGAUCCCGUGCAAUCCGCCUUCAUUUAACUCGCGGGAUCCGACGUUUUACUCGAACUGGGCUUGAACUUAUCGGGCCGCUCUCUUCGUCCCCUGGACUGGGCCGACGGCCCACUUCGUCUUAUUGAUUCACUAUCUUUCCGGGCCGGAUCCGAGCUGCGGGAUCCGACACCAACAGUUUGCCCCCCAAGUGUUCCGAAGUGUAUGCUUCGGGAUACUUAUGAUACUGAAAAUCUUGUAAAAAAGGAAAUUCGACAUAAAUACCGUCAAUCUCGGGGUUUUUCCGUGUCCGAGGUGACGAUUCAAGAUCCUAGGGUUUUCAUUUUUUCCCGCCAACCGAGAGAUUCUUCUCGGGAUCGAGGCGACGCUUCGAGAUCCUAGGGUUUUCACUUUCCCGCCAAAACGCUCUAUAUAUCAGACUGGACCCUUCGGGUUCUGUACCUUGCCUUCAAUACCCACGAUCCACUUCUGUCCUCCGUUUAUUUAAAGGUAUUCCUCUCCUCCUUACUCCUAAAUUCUCUGACUGAUUUUGUUCUUCGCUUUGAGUUCUUGAAUCCGAUUAGAUUUUUAGAAGUAGAUUACUCUUAGCAUCUGCUUUCCGCUAGGUUUAGUCCAUAGAUCUGAAGAUCCUUUAGAUUUUCAACCGUUAGGUGUGAAGAAACUCCCGUCAAUUGCCGUUCCUCCGCCGUGCUUCUUCGAAUUCCGGUGGUUCUUCUCCGUCAUCUGAAGAAUACUCUCCGUCGAGAUCUUCAUCUCCUGGGUUUUCGGCGAAGAUCUUCAUCAGUGUUCUUGAGGGUUUCUCGAUUCAUUUCUCGCCAGAUCUUUUUUCACCUUUAGAAAUUUCAAUUUCGUGUUAUGGCUCCGAAGAAGAGUAAGAAGAUCCGAAAUGAAUCUUUCAUCCUCGAAGAUGAGUUCGGGAAAUACUUUUCCUCGGAACUUGAUGACAGGAAACUAGCUCUGAUGAAAGGCGGCUGCGGUAUCCCUCGACAAGUUAAAUUAAUAGCUCCGGAGCCCAGAGAGUCUCCUGAAUCUCCUCCCACCGAUCAUUGUUGUGCUUUCGAAAUAUUCUUUUCGGAAUGCGGCCUUUCCUUUCCUUUACCAGAGCUUCUGAUAGAACUUAUGCACGAACUGGGGAUCGCUUUGCCUCAGCUUUGCCCGAACGUUGUUCGGAUAGUACUAUGCCUCCAGACUCUUGCAGAGGAGAAUGGAUACCGAAUUACGCUAUCCGACAUUUUUCAUCUCUACACAAUGAAGAAGGGGCGAACCCCGGGAACCUUCUUCCUUAGCCCGAGGAGUCAUUUCAGGGUCUUCGGAGACUUUCCUGAAAAAGAUGAGAAGUGGAGGAAGUCGUAUUUCUUCUUUCCUGUUGACGAGUUCACCUACGGUCCAAAUGCAGGACUUUUUGUUCGGGACUGGACUCGUCGUCCUGGUUAGAUGGUUUUUAGGGAUUUAAUGCAUUUUAUUUCUUGACUUCGCUCCUCGGUGAAAUAAUCCUUUUUGUUUUUGCAGUUAAACUUCCGAAGACACCGGUCUCCCAUACCUUUGCAGAACAGUUCAUCAGGAUUUGUAAUCAGAGUGACCUCGCGUGGGAACUCUUUACUUGUGAACGAAUUCGGAACUCGUGCUGCCGUGUCCGCAAUCGCUCCGACCUUAUUACCUCUUCUCCUCCUCAUACUUCUCCCAUCAUCGACAGAAACAUGUCUCCAGUCUCCUACCGCGAAGAGAAGAGGCUCCAAAAAGAGAGGGAAAAGGUUAGGCAGGCAAGAGAAAAGGAGGAUAAGGCCAGAAUGGUGAAGGCCCUGGAAGAGGGAAAAUCCAGAUCCGCAUCUGGGAAAGGAAAGACUUCCGGCUCUGUUAUGCCGGCAUCUGAGUCGAAGACUUCUGAUCGUCAAGAUCAAGUAAAGGAGUCUGCUGGUAAAGAGAUAGUCCGAAUUUCGGACUCCCGUUCCUCCCGAUCAUCCCGGGAAAAAGAGUGUUCUGAUGGGGGACCAACUGCAACUUCCUCGAGGAAACGCAAGAGCGAGGACUCGGAUGUUCUUCCUCUACAUCGCAAAAGUCGUUCUCACACGAAUGUCGAUGCGAAUCCUCCCGAAGAUGCCGGGACUACUAGCCAAAGAGCUAAAGACACUUCUCAGGGGACUCCGCUGUCCGAACCUCCCGUUCAAGUCAUGGUCUUGCCCUCACGAGACUCAGAGAAUCGGGAAUCUGGUCGUCAAGAAAUCCCUAUUCCAAUAGGUAAUCCUAUAUUGUUUUUCGAUUCUUCUUGCAAAGCACGAAUCAUUCAUAUUGAUUCCCUAUAAAAUUUUCAAUCAGCCCCUCCGAAAUCUCCAGCUGAUUUCAUGAGGAACUUUACUCCGGCUGGGAUGAGGAUCCCGGCCUUCAGCGAGCUAAAAGAAAUCAACAGGGCGAAUUACUUUCGCUUCGCCGACAAACUUGGAGAGGUACUACCUUAAAUUUUUACUUCAGCUCGUUUCGCUUGAUCCAACGGUUUCUUUCCAUCUUGAUAGAUUAUGCUCGAAUACAACACCACAUUUUCUUGUCACGAGAGCCAACUCUUCCCCGUGAACGAGCUUGACAGCCUUAGGACUCGAGUUGCUGAACUCGAAGAAGAGAUCCGUCAAAUGAAAGAGAUGGAGGAAGAAAAUGCUAAAGCUGUGGCGAAGGCCAACGAUAUCCGGGAACGGAUGUUGAGUGCCGAAGCUCGCUGUAACCAUCUUGAUGUAGUUAACACGGAUCUGUCGGUGAAACUGAAGACCGGAAAGAACAUGUACCUUGAGGCAUGUGACAAGAUAACUUCGCUGGAGGCCGAAGUAAAGCGAAGUGAGGAAUGGUGCAAGGUUGCUGCGGAAAAACGGGACGAGGAGCUCGCAGCAGCAAGGAAGGAUGAGCGGAAGAAACUCCGAGAACACUACAGUGGCUUGAUCUCAAAGCAUGAGAUCUACCUGAAAGUCCUGAGUGAGAAUGAGUCAAUAAGCAACCGAGCUGCGGAGACUAGAGCAAAUCGGGAGCUUCUUGAGGAGCUUAAGAGAGGGGAAAUCCCGGAUAUUGAUGCCGAGCUGGAGUCUGUGAAGAAAGAUGAGGCGGAUGCGGAGGCCAAAGUUAACAAGAUAAACGCUCUCAAGCCUCGUCCUGAUGAGUUUGCUCAUCUCUUCGUUGCCACUCCUCCUGAAUCGGCACCUGAAGGUCCAUAUACCGAGGAGGAACUUGCAAUUGAUGAGUUCGGUUCGAACAAAGGUCUCAUAUCCGAGCUCAAAACAGCCCAGGGAUCGGAGGAACAGCGACAGCAGGAUCCCGAAGCCUAAAGAUCCUUGAUUUGAUUUCCGGGGUUGUUAUGGCUUAAACGGCCCUCCCUUUUGUUUUUAAUUAGAACCUUUUGCUUUUGCUUCCCGUUUCUUUUGGAUUUAAAAACUUAAGCUAUUUCCUUCCUGAAAAUCUUUUUGCUAACGUAAGUCGGACAAAAAGUUCAUAAAGGAAAGCGAAAUACAAUUGAAGUACUUCCGGUUUUCAAGAAACAUGACACGAGACUUGGACAUCAAAGUCCGAAUUGAACUGUGUUGAACCAGCUAUUCUCUUAAGUAAAUAUACUUAGAAAUUGUUUUAGAAGAAAAAUCUCCGUUUGUUUUUAGAGAUAAAGAUUCGUCUAUUCGAGCACUGAGCUCGGACGAAAAGAAUCUUAAAUAGUACGAAAAUAACUUUUUCGGUUUGCGAAGAGCGAAUUACGAGAUUACUCUCGGUUUUACGAGUUGCGAGAUAUAUCUCGGCUUUGAAUAUUUAGACUGUUUCAACAAUGUAAAUAUUUUAUUGAUUUAGAGACUGCACUGGAGGUCCGAGCUGCCUACGUACCCAAAGGUGGGGAUCAAGUCUGUCGUAGUUCGAUUUACAAUAGAAAUAAUGUGAUUAAAUAAAGUAUCUCUUCAAAUGAAUGGAAUUCCAAGCUCUCCGAACUGCUUUUCCGUCCAUAUUCUCCAGACGAUAAACUCCGUUGCGAACUACCUGAGUAAUUCGAUAAGGACCUUCCCAGUUAAUACCUAGCUUUCCAGCUCCAUCUUCGGUAGUAUUUUGCUGAACUUUGCGCAAUACCAAGGUUCCAACGUCGAAGUGUCGACUUCGGACAGUCGAAUUAUAGUAUCGAGCUGCGGCAUUCUUGUAAUUUUGCAUUCGAAUCAAAGCUCGAUCUCGCCGCUUCUCAAUGGUAUCAAUAACAUCAACCAUCAGUUCGAUAUUUGCUGCCUCGUUCUGCGGGUUAUUCAUUCGUCUCGGACUUGGCACAAAUAUUUCAGCAGGGAUUACAGCCUCCAUUCCAUAAACUAAUGAAAAUGGUGUUUCACCUGUUGCACGCCUAGGAGUAGUGCGAAUUGCCCAGAGAACACUUUGUAGUUCAUUAAACCAAGCUCCUUUAUGCGACUUAAGUUUUUUCUUCAAAGUGGACAAAACAGUUUUGUUCAUUGCUUCAGCUUGACCAUUACCCUGCGGGUAACGUGGCGUUGAUCGACUGAGUCUGAUUUGCCAUUCUUCGCAGAAAAAUUCGAAUUGCCGCGAAAUGAAUUGAGGUCCGUUAUCAGUAACGAUCUCGUAUGGCAAACCGUGCCUACAAAUGAUGUCUUGCCAAAUGAAUUUGCGAACUUGAACCUGAGUUAUGUUUACGUAGGCUGCCGCUUCCACCCACUUCGAGAAAUAAUCGGUAAGAACCAGGACAAAUUUCACCCCGCGCGUAGAAACAUGAAGGGGCCCAAUAAUAUCCAUAGACCAUUUCAUAAACGGAUAAGGCGAAGAGACUGAUGAUAAUGGCUCGGUGGGUUGGUGAAUUGAAGGUGCGUGCUUCUGGCACUGCUCGCACUUCCGCGCAUACUCCUCGCAAUCCGCGAUUAAUGUGGGCCAGAAAUAUCCGUACUUUCUUACUUUAUAGGCCAAAGAGCGACCUCCGGAGUGAUUUCCGCAUACUCCGUCAUGAAUCUCUUUUAUCACAGUACGGACCUGCUGUCCGAAAAUACAGAUCAUGUCAGGACCCGAGAUGCUUCUUCUGUAGAGGAUGUCACUCAAAAUGCAGAAACGAGCACUUUUAGCUUUCAACUUCCGUGCCUCCCACUUAUCCGCAGGAAGAGUACCAUUAAGGAUGUAUUCUCUGAUGGGAAUCCGCCAGUCUGCCCCCCAAUCCGGGAGCGGUAGCGCUGGUAGUGGUUCCGGAUUUAGCGGUGUUCCGAUUAGUGACUCUACUUCGGAGUUCGGUUCAGUUUCCUCGACCCCUUGUGGUUCUUGUUCCACACUCGUCCUUCUUUGCAUAGACCGUGUAGUCACGAAAUUCAGCUCUCCGGUGGCUAUACUGGGAUGUUCAAUUACUUCAACAGGGAUCAUUCGGCUCACUGUUACUUCGGAACUCGACGCCAAUGCCGCUAAGGCAUCCGCCGCUGAGUUCUCACUUCGCGGAAUUCUAGUGAGUUCGAAACUGAGAAACUUUCUACUUAAUUCCUGAAGCUGAGCGAGGUAAGCUUCCAUUCUACCAUCUUUUGCUUCAUAAUCACCGGAAAACUGAUUAGCAACGAGCUGCGAGUCGCAAAAUGCCCGUAAUUUUGUGACACCUAUCCCAACCGCUAGACGAAGUCCUGCAAGGAGAGACUCGUACUCCGCCUCGUUAUUCGACGCAUUAAAUGCGAGACGAAAUGACUGUUCAAUUACCUCACCAUACGGGGAUUGUAAUCGGAUACCGAUCCCGGAACCCUGUUUUGAGGACGCGCCGUCCACAUGAAGUAUCCAAGGUCCUUCGUUUUCUUUGGCCCCUUCGGAGACCAGAGGUAGUUCGAUCAGAAAAUCUGCGAGGACUUGAGAUUUCAUGCUUGUCCUUGUUCGGAACUGAAUAUCAUACUCGCUCAGCUCAAUUGCCCAUUUCACCAAUCUUCCUGACUGACUCGGGCUAUGCAAAAUUGCUCUUAAAGGUUGCGAAGUUAGGAUUAUAACCGUAUGAGACUGAAAAUAUGGUCUUAAUUUCCGAGCUGAGGUAAUUACUGCCAGAGCUAGCUUUUCCAUCAUCGGAUAUCUCGAUUCCGCUCCCGAAAAAGACUUGCUUACAUAGAAAAUCGGUCUUUCAUCGUUCCGAUCCAAUCGUACUAAUACUCCACUUACUGCGCUCUUAGAAACCGAAACGUACAAGAAAAGCUCUUCUCCGAACUCAGGUUUCGCUAACACAGGAGGUGUGGACAAAUAAUCUUUUAGAUCUUCGAAAGCCUUUUCGCAAUUCUCAUCCCAGAUGAAAUUUUUGUUCGCUUUUCGGAGCAGAUUAUAGAAUGGAAGGCAUCUAUCAGUUGACCUCGAGAUGAAUCGGUUCAAAGCUGCUAUCCGCCCCGUAAGUCGCUGAACUUCCCGAACAUUUCGGGGCGAAGUCAUCGCCAGAAAAGCGUUCAACUGUCGCGGAUUAGCUUCGAUUCCUCGCUCAGUGACAAUACACUUCCAUCGUUUUACCGAGGAGAUCUUUGAACAUCAUAUUCACCAACCGUUGAUAAGUGGCUCCGGCAUUUUUCAACCCGAAUGGCAUGACUAUAUAGCAGUAAGUUCCACGGUCCGUGAUGAAAGCUGUCUUUUCCUGGUCUUCCGGAUUCAUCAAAAUCUGAUUAUACCCAGAAAAAGCAUCCAUAAAGGACAUCAUUUCGUGGCCCGUUGUUGACUCCACAAGUCGGUCGAUGUGCGGAAGUGGGAAACUAUCUUUGGGACAGGCUUUAUUAAGAUCGGUAAAAUCUACGCAAACCCGCCAUUUCCCAUUUUUCUUCUUGACUACUACUGGGUUUGCCAACCAGUCCGGAUAUUUGACCUCGCGAAUCAAACCGGCAUCAAGCAGGCGCUGUACUUCGGCAUUUACAGCCUCGGCUCGGUCUGGACCAAGUUUCCUGCGUUUUUGUUUUACUGGUUUGAAAGUCGGGUCAAUGUUGAGCUCGUGCGAAAUGACCUUUGUAUCGAUCCCAGUCAUCUCCUCGAUUUUCCAGGCGAAAGUUUUUUGAUUCCUUUUCAGGAAAGUUAUCAGUUCAACUCGGAGUGUUUCGCUUAAUCCCGCUCCUAUGCUAACAGUUUGAUCCGGAUAUUCUUCAUUAACUACCACUGCCUCCACGAGGUCACCGCUUAUUUUUUUGACGGGAUUUGCAGGCACCUCGAACUGUGGUUGCUAUUGAAUUUUAAGCUUAUGACUGGACAUGUAACACAUCCUCGCAGCUCGUUGACUUCCCAGGAUUUGCUUUACUCCGGAUUUCGUAGGGAAUUUCAAGCAUUGAUGAUACGUUGAAGGUACUGCUUUCAUCUCAUAAAUCCAGGGUGUUCCCAAGAUAACAUUGUAAGCCGCCGGACGAUCGAACACCGUGAACUCGAUCAUUUUGACUAUGCCUUCUGCGCAUACCGGGAGCACAAUCGUUCCUAAUGACAUUGAAGUUUCGCUAGUAAAGGAAACCAAAGGUGAUGGUGGCCCCCUUAUAUCUCGCUUCGAUAUCCCCAUUCUUGUCAAAGUAUCGAGGAAGAUUAAAUCCACCGAACUCCCAGUAUCAAUGAGAACCCGAGAUACUUCGCAAUGCGCAAUAUCGAGUGUUAUGACCAAAGCGUCAUCGUGUGGUUUGUCAAGUUGACUGGUUUCGCUUUCGGAGAAUGUUACUUCGGGUAACUGUUCCUCAGUAAGCCUGGCCUUCUUGAUAAUCGGGGGGGUUGCCCUCCUUUCGUGUUGCUUGAUUGCACUAAUGGAAUCCCGAAAAAGCUUAGAUCCCCCCAUAAUCACCUGGAUUUGCUUCUUCGGUCCUUUAAAAACAUCAGGGGACUGGAUUCUUUUGGUUUUCUUGCUGGGAGGAGACGGUUCCUCUGUUGCUACUGUAUGUCCCGACGGAUGAGUUGGUUCGAGCUCCGAAACAUCGAUUUCGGCUAUUUCCCCGGAUGCGAACUUGGCGGCCAGUAACCUCCCUAGAGCCUUGCAAUUUUUCGUAGCAUGCCCGUUGACUUUGUGGAUCUCGCAGUAGGCGUUUGGGUCACGAAUCCACUUGUUACUUGGGAAAGCGCUGUUUUUGCUCUUAGGUGAGAAAGAUUGCUUCGCAGGUGAAAUCUUCGGUGAACCUUUUGGCUCCUCCCGAUCCACUGAGAAUGUGCCAGCUCCAGGUUUCCGAGCUUCAGGUUGAGCGGGUUUCUUCUGAGGAAGAAGCUGAGCAGGUUUCGGAGCUGCCUUGAACUUUUUAGCUAGAGCGGCCCGCUCUUCUUCCGCGUUUAUCCAGUUCGUUGCCCGAUGGAGGGCAUCUUGAAUAGUGGCCGGUCGGUUAACAACCAACUCUUCUCGGAAACGAGAUUCGUGCCAUAGACCGUUCUUGAGUGCAGCAAUAGCUGCGGAAUCAGACAAAUUUGGGAUUUGGACCAUAAUCUCUUUAAAGGAGGUGAUGUAAGUUCGGAGCGGAUCUCCGGCUCCCUGUGAGAGGUUCCACAGCUGGGCGUCAGUCACAUCGCUCUUGAUGAAGUAUCCGUACUGCAUGAUGAAAGCAGUGGAUAGUUGCUUGAAGCUAUCGAUCGAUCCUUCUUCUAGUUGAGUAAACCAGGUUAAAGCCGGCCCGGAUAGGUUCUCGGCAAAGAGCUUGCAUAAGCCUGCGUCUACUUCGUUUGGCUCCAAAUGUACCCGACCUGCGGUCACCUGAAAAGAUGCUAAAAAUUCUUUGGGAUCUCCCUUACCAUCGUAUCCCGGAAGUUUGACCUUCCUUUGGUCUCGAAUGCGCAGGGCUACAAUUCGUGGAGUAAAAGGAGUCCUUCUCGUCUCCUCGAUCACUCUAUCGACUUCGGGAGCCGAACUGGUGGCUUGAUGAACCUUCGAACUCAUUUCCCGAAUCUGAUUUUGUAAGCUCUAGAUUUCCGGGUUGACCGGAAGGUGAGGUGGAUGGGACUCGGUUUGAGGAUGAUGCGGAGUGCUGCCAAGAUGAACGGGGAGAGGUGUUCUGGCUGGAACAAAAGGACCGCCGGCCGAAUUUGGAGGUGCUUGAGCAUGACGGGACCCAUCUCCAGGUUCGCUCUGAGAGCCAAGAGGCAAAGAAGACGGGAGUACGUUGCUCGGGGACACGAGUCUAGGAUCCUGAACCUCCGAAACGUUCGGACCAUGAAAGUCCAAAUGGCCACGAGGUCCGCUGGUCCGCAAAGUUCCUGCAAGAAUUGUAUCAACCCGAUCCGCAUAAGCAUUAUGGGCUGACCUGAUUUCGGAACAACUCGCUGUAAGGACUGCGAUUUGGCUGCCGCUUUGCUCUUCAAAAGCUGAGAGCUUCUCAGACAACGCAGUGGUGGCGAGCUGCUGCUGGUCAGUCUUUUCGGACAGAUCUUUUAGCAACUUCUUGAUCUCGUCAAGGACUGAAGCCGGAUCCGCUAUGUCUGACAUCUUUCCGAUUGAUAUUCUGGAGUGAAAGGCUAGAAAUCCCCUCUCUCUAGCGCCAAAUUGUGGAUGUCGGAAUCCGCAAUACGAAUUUUAAGAUAUAACUCGGGCCGUCUAGCCUUGCUAAUUCGAACAGCAAUCGUCAAAGAGAAAAUAAAAGAGUGAAGUAUGUGUAUUCGUUUAUUGCUCAAGAAAAAUCCCCCCCUCUACAAUGGUUUUCGUUUCCUAUUUAUAAUUACAAGAUUUGAAACCGAAAUCGCUCGUCAAGCCGCAGAUCUCGCCUUCUUUACUGUUUCUGUUUCGAAUCUUCCCGAUCUGGCAGAUCCCGUGCAAUCCGCCUUCAUUUAACUCGCGGGAUCCGACGUUUUACUCGAACUGGGCUUGAACUUAUCGGGCCGCUCUCUUCGUCCCCUGGACUGGGCCGACGGCCCACUUCGUCUUAUUGAUUCACUAUCUUUCCGGGCCGGAUCCGAGCUGCGGGAUCCGACACCAACAGGUAUCGCAUCAUUCACCUCGGGAUAUCCAUCUAAUCGAUCUAGUAUACCCGAGCCCUUCGCCUCGGGAAUACCUUUAACAAGUAGUCUCGAGUACCCGAGCCCUUCGCCUCGGGGAUACUCGAAACUAGACGUUUCAAGCGCGUCGGGUACGAACCAAAUAAAAACAUCGCGUCCGCGUCUAAGGCGCGUCGGGCACACACAAAUCAAAUAAGAUACUUCGCAUCCGCACCAAUCUCGGGAAUCAGCGAAAGGACCUUUCCACUUCUCGAGAAGGAAUCCCAACCGUCACACGCCAAGAGAAGAUGAAACGACAGAGUAAUUCAAAUCGCUAAAGGGACCGAACUAUUCAAAGUAAACGGCUCGGCCUAAUUGUCACAGCUCGUCACGCUCGGUUCUCCAAACUAACGAGCUGGGGGGCUAACUGUUGGGGUCGGAUUCCAUCCUUUAGCGCCAAGCCAGACUUAGAAUACUUCGGGAAUCUUUCGGCGAUCGCCUCGGGGUAUCGCAUCAUUCACCUCGGGAUAUCCAUCUAAUCGAUCUAGUAUACCCGAGCCCUUCGCCUCGGGAAUACCUUUAACAAGUAGUCUCGAGUACCCGAGCCCUUCGCCUCGGGGAUACUCGAAACUAGACGUUUCAAGCACCCGAGCCCUUCGCCUCGGGGAUGUUUGAACGUUACGUCUCAAGCACCCGAGCCCUUCGCCUCGGGAGUUUCUGAGCCCAUCGCCUCGGGGACACCUAAAUAAGCCAUCCCAGUCCUUCCUGUACCCGAGCCCAAUUGCCUCGGGGUACCCGAGCCCAUCGCCUCGGGGAUAUCCUAAACAAGACAUCAGAAGCACCCGAGCCCAAUUGCCUCGGGGGUACCCGAGCCUGGUCGCCUCGGGAGUAUCUGAGCCCAUCGCCUCGGGGACACCCGAAGAAGCCAUCCUAGAGUGCCCAAGCCAGUCCUUCCUGUGUACCCGAGCCGGUUGCACAAGCUCCCCGAGGCGAAGUCUUCAUCGCCCGAAGCAAAGACUUAGGAAAUAUUCUUCUUUAAAGGUAUCAUUUCCAAGCACAUUAUCAUUUCCAAAAAAGAAGGAUCAUUUCCGAUAAAAUCGGAAAUGAUAAGGAAGAAUCACAAAGGAUCAACUCAAAUCAGGAAAUCUUCCAAAAGACUCCGAAGAAUAAGGAAACUAUCCUAAUCCGCGAUAUUCUAAGCCGACUUCAAGAUAAAUGGAAAUCUUCUGAGAAUAUCGCUGGAGAGGCGGUUCAUCACCCCUAUAUAAAGAGACUCAAGGCUCUCGCAGAAGGGAGGCAAUAUCGCUCUAGAAUUUACACUACGCAAAGCCCUCACAGCACAAACAUCUUUUUUCUUUUACGAUCAAACUCUUGUACGAUCAAAGUCAUCUUUUUCUUAAUAAAAUCAAGAACACCAUCUUUGGUAUCAAUUGAUUCUGUCGUUCUUUGAGAAUUCUCGCAAAUCGUAUCCCUAAAUUAAAACCCUAGACAAAUCUCGAUUGUGUUAGUUUCGACUUCCACAGUUUGGCGCCGUCCGUGGGGAUACUUUAGAAUUCUCUUACCCUAAGACGCAGAACUCGAUUACUGAAAGGACGAUGAACGAAGACGGUCGUCAGACGCCACCAGCUAGAGGAGGAAUCCCGAACCCUCCGAACCCUCAGAAUCCUCAAGCCGAUCCGACGAUCCUAGCGACUCUAGCUGAACUGAAAGAUCUGAUGGUUAAAUUCCAGAAGAAAACUGACGACCAAGAGAAAGCCAACCAAACCUUGGCGCAGCGAGUCGACGAAAUCGCAACACGCGGGCAACAAAAAACCACACGUUUCCAAACUCGGCCACCACGAGCUCGGAGGGACUUGCCUGGCAUCAACCCAACGAGACUCACGUUCACGACACCAACCGGCAACACCAGAGUCGCAACCCGAGCUGAUCCUGCCAGACGCGAGAACCGAGAUGAUCCCACCGAGCCAGACGCAGUGGACUUGACAAACGAGCCAGAUGAUCUUCAGGAUGAGCGUACCCGAGCCGGAGCUAAUUCCGCCGAGCGAACGGACCUUACUGAUGACGAAGAAACUGAAGAAAACAUAAGGUGGGCCGAAGAAUCCGAAAGGGAAGACGAGCUAAGCAAGAUCCGAGCCUCCCUAGCCAAGGCGGAAGCUGAUAUGAAGCUCGUCAAAACCCAGAUACAUAGCGUCUCAUCCUCCGCACCGAACAUCGACCGAAUUUUGGAGGAAUCCCGGAAUACGCCUUUCACCAAAAGAAUUUCCGAAACGACGAUGUCCAAUCUGGGGAAGUUCAAAAUCGAUUCUUACAACGGAUCAACCGACCCGAAAUGCCACAUUAAAUCGUUCGUGAUAUCUGUGGCCCGAGCCAGGUUCAAGCCCGGCGAAAAGGAUGCAGGUCUAUGCUUACUGUUCGUGGAACACCUCAAAGGACCUGCAUUAGAGUGGUUUUCAAGAUUGGAACGAAACUCGAUCGAUAGUUUCGACGAGCUGUCGACAUUGUUCCUCAAACAAUACUCCGUGCUCAUCGACCCCGGAACUUCCGACGCGGAUCUGUGGUCUUUAUCUCAACAACCCACCGAGCCGUUAAGAGAUUUCCUCAAGACCUUCAAAUCGACGCUAGCCAAGGUCGAAGGAAUUACCGACGUAGCAGCUCUCUCAGCUUUGAAGAAAGCUAUCUGGUACAAGUCAGAAUUCAGGAAAGAGUUGAACCUGUCUAAACCGACAACAAUUCGUGACGCGCUGCAUCGAGCCUCGGAUUUCGUCGCCCACGAAGAAGAAAUGGCGCUACUAGCAAAGAGGCACGAGCCGACGAAACAGGCGUCCCGAGCCGAGAAAACCGAGAAAACUGAGAAAGCCCAAGCAGCACCUCCAGUCCAGAAGAAGACGCGUGAGAGCAGUACGUAUACGCAUCACGAAGGGCGCAAUUUCUCAGGAUACCAUAGCUACCAAAUCGACACACCCCGAGGCCGUGGCCGCGGCAGAGGCCGAGGCCGCGGGCGAGGAAGAGAGUCCUUCACCUGGACAAGGGAUCAGCCACCGAACAAUGAUCAGGAAUAUUGCGAACACCACAAAAUUUUCGGCCAUCAUACCUCGAGAUGCCGAAGCCUCGGAGCCAAGUUAGCAACCAAAUUCCUAGCUGGAGAGCUCGGGACAAACGUUACUCUCAAAGACCUCGAGCCAGAACCGGAGCCCGAGCAGACCAAUCCAGGGAGAGACCCCGAACCAAGGAACCAGGAGUCUCAGAAAAGAACCCGGGGGUCGGAAGACGAAGACCGAGAUGGUACGCGACAGAAGGUUCUUACCAUAAUGGGUGGAUCACCUUACUGUCCUGACACCGUAGCGGCAAUCAAAGCUUAUCAACGCCGAGCCGAGACGCCUAGCAACUGGACAAGACGCUUCGAUCGACCUAACGACGUGAUCACAUUCGAAGAAAGCGAGACAAACGGGCUCGACAUGCCUCAUAACGAUCCAAUCGUCGUCACAUUAGCGAUAGGAGACCACGAUAUUUAUCGAGUGUUGAUUGACACCGGCAGCACCAUUGACGUGAUCUUUCGCGAAACGCUCCAACGAAUGAGCAUCGACAUGUCACAGGUGGUUCCGACCCCGAGGCCUGUCCUCGGAUUUUCAGGGGAAACUUUGAUGACGCUUGGAACCAUCCAACUACCAGUCCGAGCCGGCGGGGUAACAAAGAUAGUCAACAUCUCAGUCACCGACCGACCUACCAUCUACAACGUCAUAAUGGGGACUCCGUGGUUAAAUCUAAUGCGAGCUGUCGCAUCAACAUAUCAUCUGUGUGUCAAAUUCCCGACCCCUAAUGGCGUGAAAACAAUAUGGGGCAGUCAGAAAAAUUCUCGGAUGUGUUUCAUGGCAGCACACAAACUCCGAAACCCUGUCACCGAAGCGAAGGCUGAAACCAAUCACAAGAAAUCAAAACUUGGCCGGAAUGAAGAGAAGGCUAUAUCUAAACAGUUAUAACAAUUACAGAUCGAGGAGGCGCGCGAGGAGAAGAAGCCUACCUCGGAUCCUGUAAUCUCCAUUGGCCUCGACGAUGAACGGCCCGAACGAUGCGUGGAAAUUGGCAGCGACUUAAGCGAGGAAAUCAAGACCGAGCUCAUCUCAUUCCUCAAAGAGAACAUCAACACCUUCGCCUGGUCAGCUGAAGAUCUACCUGGAGUGAGCAUCGACAUAAUCUGCCACGAGCUGAAUGUUGAUCCAUCUUUCAAGCCCAUCAAGCAGAAGCGAAGAAAAUUGGGCCGGGAUCGCGCAGAUGCCGUGAACGCCGAAGUUGAAAAACUCCUGAAGAUCGGCUCGAUCUCUGAAGCAAGGUAUCCGGACUGGUUAGCAAAUCCUGUCGUGGUUAAAAAGAAGAACGGCAAGUGGAGAGUUUGCGUCGAUUUCACCGAUCUGAACAAAGCUUGCCCUAAAGACAGUUUUCCGCUCCCACAUAUCGAUCGUUUAGUGGAAGCAACCGCGGGAAAUAAGUUGCUAUCAUUCAUGGACGCUUUCGCAGGAUACAAUCAGAUUCUCAUGCACCCCGACGAUCGCGAGAAGACAGCAUUCAUCACAGACCUAGGUAUCUACUGUUACAAAGUCAUGCCCUUCGGACUCAAGAAUGCUGGCGCGACGUAUCAACGGCUCGUCAACAGGAUGUUCUCCGAGCAGUUCGGGAAGACGAUGGAAGUUUAUAUCGACGACAUGUUAGUCAAAUCCCUUGAGGAAAGCGAUCACAUAGCCCAUCUGCGCGACUGUUUUCGCCAGCUCAACAAGCAUAACAUGAAGCUCAAUCCGGCAAAAUGUCGUUUCGCUGUAAAGUCGGGAGAAUUCUUGGGGUACCUCGUAACUCACCGAGGCAUCGAAGCAAACCCGAAGCAAAUCGAUGCUCUACUGAACAUGCCCUCACCACAGAACAAGCGCGAAGUCCAACGUCUCACCGGGAGAGUCGCGGCCUUGAACCGAUUCAUCUCGCGGUCCACUGACAAAUGCCUGGCUUUCUACGAUACCCUGCGCGGGAACAAGAAAUUCGAAUGGACCGAUCGCUGCGAAGAAGCUUUCCAGGAACUGAAGAAGUAUUUGGCUAACCCACCGGUGUUAGCGAAACCAGUCCCGGGCGAGCCGUUAUUCCUGUACAUCGCAGUCUCUGAUACGGCUAUAAGUGGAGUCAUAGUCAGGGAAGAUAGAGGGGAGCAGAAGCCGAUAUUUUACGUCUCGCAAACUUUCACCGACGCGGAAACACGCUACCCGCAAACUGAAAAGCUCGCCCUCGCCGUAGUAAUGUCAGCUCGGAAGCUACGGCCAUAUUUCCAGUCUCACUCGAUUGUCGUCAUGGCGCCCGUAUCACUCCGAACCAUCUUGCACAGUCCGAGCCAAUCAGGACGCCUAGCCAAGUGGGCAGUAGAACUCAGCGAGUAUGACAUCGAAUACAGAAACAAAACAUGCGCGAAAUCUCAAGUCCUGGCCGAUUUCAUCAUCGAACUGCCAACAGAGAACGCCCGAGAAGAAUCACCCAAUGCCGUUUGGAUCCUCCACGUCGACGGCUCAUCCUCAAAACAAGGUUCUGGCGUCGGAAUCCGCCUCGCAUCACCAGGGGGUGAAAUCCUUGAACAAUCCUUUCGGCUAAAUUUCGACGCGACUAACAACGUGGCUGAGUACGAAGCACUGAUAGCAGGACUUAAGCUGGCUCGGGGACUUAAGAUCAACAAGCUGCGAGCCUUUUGCGACUCCCAGCUCGUGGCAAAUCAAUUCAACGGAGAAUACGCGGCUCGCGACGAACGAAUGGAAGCGUAUCUUGCUCUCACGCAAAAUUUGGCGAAACAGUUCGGAGAGUUUGAGUUAACCAGAAUCCCACGAGGUGAGAACAUAUCGGCCGAUGCCUUAGCAGCUCUAGCUUCAACCUCCGACCCAAAUCUGAAGAGGAUCAUACCGGUUGAGUUCAUCGAAAAGCCGAGCAUAGAAGAUAAUAGCAAAGAUCAAGUUCUAACAGCUCGGGAAACGGAAGAACCGGAAGAAAUGGACAUCGAACAGCUGGACCAGCAAACUACAGACGCAACCGAGUCCGAAUACGGAAGCGACGCCAAAUGGAUCGGAGCCAUCCGAAGCUACAUCGCCGACGGAGAAGUUCCUACCGAAAAAUGGGCAGCUCGGAAACUUAAGGCCAAAGCGGCUCGAUAUACUUUGAUCGACGAAGAACUCUUUAAAUGGCGAUUUUCUGGUCCUCUCCUUAUCUGUGUCGAAGGAAACGAAGCUCGGAGAGUCAUGGAAGAAAUUCACGGUGGAUCUUGUGGAAACCAUUCUGGCGGAAGAGCUCUGGCCAUAAAGAUCAAACGCCACGGAUAUUUUUGGCCGACGAUGGUCAAAGACUGCGAGAAAUUUUCUCAACGGUGUGAUAAAUGCCAGAGGCACGCACCAACCAUUCAUCAACCCGCUGAGCUCCUCUCUUCCAUCACUUCGCCUUAUCCGUUCAUGCGAUGGUCCAUGGACAUCAUCGGACCUCUACACAACUCCAAACAGAAGAAACUCGUCCUCGUACUAACAGACUACUUCUCCAAAUGGAUCGAGGCGGACUCCUACGCCAGCAUCAAAGACGCGCAGGUCGAAAACUUCGUCUAGAAGAACAUCAUAUGCCGCCACGGGAUACCUUAUGAGAUCGUUACAGACAACGGAUCGCAGUUUAUUUCGGCUCGGUUCGAAGGAUUCUGCAAGAAAUGGGGAAUUCGCCUCAGCAAGUCUACGCCCCGGUAUCCUCAGGGGAACGGACAGGCCGAAGCGGCAAACAAGACGAUUCUCGACGGAAUAAAAAAGCGCCUCGACGCAAAGAAAGGCCGCUGGGCCGACGAAUUGGAAGGAGUACUCUGGUCACACAGAACCACGCCACGGCGAGCCACGGGAGAAACGCCUUUCGCCCUUGUCUACGGCACGGAGUGUGUGAUUCCCACCGAAGCCGAGAUCCCGGGACUGAGAAAACGUUUUCUCCCCGAGCAGGAGAAUUCCAACACUCAGAUGAUGCUGGACGAGCUGGACUUAAUUGACGAAAGAAGAGAUUCGGCUUUGGUCCGAAUGCAGAACUAUCAGAAUGCAACAGCUCGGUACUACAACUCUCACGUUAAAUAUCGCCGUUUCCACGAAGGAGAUCUCGUACUGCGCAAAGUUUUUCAGAAUACCGCCGAGCAGAACGCAGGCAAACUCGGCGCGAAUUGGGAGGGACCUUAUACGAUCGCAAAGGUAAUCCGUCCCGGCGUCUACGAACUCAUCAACAUGAACGGCAAAGCGGUACCUAGAUCCUGGAACGCAAUGCAUCUAAGGAAAUACUACCGCUAAAAACCUAAGGUACGCAUGUACUCGAACUACGGGGUGGCUUGAUCCCUGAAAAGGGUACGUAGGCAGCUCGUCCUCGGACGAGUUCAGCUACCCCCCCUAAUUAAAAAAGGGGGGGAGUGGAUCCGUAUAUCCAUACUCCCACUCAAACUUUAUCAAUUAUACGUUUCCUAUACUCCUAUUCAAAUUUUAUCAAACUAUAUUUCUAAGUAUACACUUCGGGUUUUUAUCCGAUCAAAUCCACCUCGGUCUUUACCCCGAAACUCGCCUCGGGAAAUCAACACGGUCUAAACUCCGUUCGGUUCGUUUGGGCGAUGGCCACGCCCACGAAUUAAAUUCAUCUACACCUCUACGGUUACAGCGCGCUAUAUAAGCAUCCAAGACAAUUCGGAAGGAGAUAUCCUGCCAUAAAGAAGUUGUCUUCAGAAAACCCAGUUCACUUCUACACUGGUACCCCAGUUCGCUUCUAAGCACUGGCAUCGACUAUAUCAGCUCGGGUCGCAACCGACAAAGAUUAGUCCUACUUACCAAAACCCGGUUUACUUAACACUGGUACACGAUUUGCUUGGUUCGAAAAGUGGUUCGAAAAGUUAAACUCUGAGACUAGAAAUUUAUCGAGAACAAAAUAUAUUCAUUAUCAAUAGUGGAUAAAGCCGUCCAGGCAUCAAGUCUUACAAAAAUCCAGAAUUAAAAGAAGGAAUGCGCCACGGAUCUACUCAUCCCGCUCCUCCGGAACAUGUGCGACUUCGGAGCUCAGAUUCGUGCCGGCCUGAUCCCUAAUACCAAUUCCCGCGGCAACCCCUUCGAUUGACCUGUUUCCGAAAUUAUCUUCAACAGAAUCCGGGGAAGCCGGAGGAAGCCUCAGAUCCUCUCGCAGCUCGGUUCCGAUCCGCACAAACUCCUCCUCAGCAUCUCCAUACUCAGCUUUCCACUGGAGAACUUCCUGCUUUUCAUCUUCGACAUUUUUGCCGCCUUCAAGGUCGGCAAUCAAUUCAGCGUUAGCUCUGGCCUGGACUAGGAACAUGUAGCGCUCAGACGCCUUCCCAUACAGAUCCAUCUUCGCCUCUAUCGCCUCGACCUUCUUGGCAAACUCCUUCCUAGCCGUUUUCCUCUCCCGACGCACUUCCUUCUCCCGAAGCGACUUCUCCUCGGUGAAUAGUCGGUUCAAGCGUUCGAUUUCGGCUUCCAUCUUCCGACGGAGGCGAAGACCGUCCUCAGCCGCCUUCAAUCGCUCGACCUUCUCUGCCUUAGCCAACGCUUCGGCUUCCCGCCUGGCCUCAUCUGCCUCGGCAACCUUAGUCGCCGCCUCGGCAAUCUUGGCCUCUGCCUCGGCAUUCUUGGCAUCCGCCUCGAUUAUCUUGGCAUCGGCCCCAGCAAUUCUGACCUCCGCCUCGGCUCGGGAAGUCUCGUAUCUACGGUUUGAAGAGUCGUAGGCUCGAACCAUGCGGUUCAUCGAAUGGAAAGCCUGGAACACAAAAACUAAAGUUAGUGCUAAGAAUUUUAAAAGGCUUAGGAUGCUUCGGAGAUAAACCAAUACCUUCAGGAAUCCCGCAGCAGUUUCGCGGUAAUUUUCAGCCUCCAGCAAGGCCUCGGGCGCAGCUAGGGUCGGACCCGAGCAAGAAGCGAUAAGAUUAGCAGAUGCCGUCUUAUCCUUGUAGAUAGGAGCCUCGUUGCGACUCCUCUUCUCUUUCUUACGACCUCCCGAGCUAUCACCUCGGGGCCUCUUGACCUUCGCCUUAGCUUUCGCCUCGGCACAAAGGGCGACAAUAGCCGAGGUCCCUACCACCUCGGGGACAUCGGUCGGAGGAGAGAUAUGCCCGGCCGCCUCGGGCACGAUCGAAACCAUAUCCCGAGCUUCAUUGGCCGCCUCGACACCGACGACUUCAAGACUGGCCUCGGGAGGAGUAGGAGGUCUGAAGUUCGCCUCCAAAACAGCUUUUUCCUUAGCCGCCUUCUUUUCGGCAGCUUUCCUGGCUCGCAGAGACUGCGCGGCGCCUUGCAUCUCAAUAAGAUGAUCUAGGCGAUGAUCGGACGAUUCGGAAGAGGAUUGACAUGGAGCUCCGUGCAGUUGACGCAGGGCUCUCUCAAUUCUUUCUUGGGAGAAAUGUUUCGUCCAAUCGCACUUCCGAGCUAUCAGUUCGUCGUGCAGAUCUAAAAAGCCUUCGGGGACGUCUUCGAGAAAUGACGGAUUCCGAUCUGCGAAAACAAGAAAACAUUUAGUGAAGUUCAAAGCAAAACAAAACAGCAAGUAUGGCUUCGGGCAUAGUACCAAUCGUUCUCCACUUUCCAACAACUUUCCCUAAGUAGUCCUCGUGGACACUAUACUCAUUCAAGGCUACGUAGAAAAAAUGGUCAGUGUACUUCUCGUCCUUGCUCGGGAAACCACCGAUAACCCUUCUAUUUAGCCUCGGGGAUAUGUAAAAUCUCUCGACGGGGCCAGGUAUGCGCCGAAUCUCUAGGAGAUUCCUUAAGUGGCUAAGGCCGACAAGGUUGACCGUCUCAAUACUCCGGACUAGAAUCCCUAUGAGAUGGCGCAAGCCUCGGGUUGUGAUCUGAGACAGAGCGAUCUUGUACGACCAUAGAAACGCCAACACAGGCCUCGGAAUCGGAACCCAUAGGUAGCAAUGGUAGAAGAACCCCUCGUAAAGGGUGAAAAACCCCUCGGGUGGAUCAUCCGCUCGCUCAUUCGAAGUUGGAAGUCUUAGUUCAAUCCCCUCACUAAAACCAAAUCGAGCCUUGAGAUCCCGAAGCGAAUCCUCCGUGCAUAAAGUGGAACCCGGAGGAUCAGGUUUCCUAGCUUUUUUGGCUCGUUUCCUCUUCUGUUGACUCUUGGCUGCUUGGAUUUUAGCUUGGAGCAACCUAGCCGCCUCGUCAGAAUCAUAGUGAAUCUCCUCGGCCUUAACAGGGAGUAGAGGCGCCUCGGGGGCAUUUCGCCAGCAUGAAACCCCAGCUUCAUCAGCUGCCGGUGGAUGGACUUUCCUCCUGCUUAAAGUCGCCUCGGGAUCAUCAGGCAAAUCCUGAUCCCGAGCCACAUCUGCAACCGUAUCUUCCCGAGCAACGAAACGGCUCGGGUCUUCUUCCCGUGAAGCCGACUCGGCAUCACUACCACGGUACAACACGAUCUGGUUGUCCGUGAUAUCCACCUCGGGGUCGCUCGAGGAACUCCAGACCAUCUCUCUUGUAGGCGGGGAGAAGAGUGUCACCUCGGGGCGAAUCGCUGGAAUCAGAUAGAGACAUUUUCUAGCUCGGGAGAUUGGAGAAGUUUAUUGGAGGAACAAAGCCUGACAGAUCGGAGAAAUCAACCUAGAUCUAAUGACGGCGGCGCUACGACGGAAGUAUAACGGAAAAGUAGAGAAAAUGCAAAAAACUCAAGAUCAGAGAAAGAAGAGAACGAACCUCGAAAAAUUUCCUUUGCAGUUGCGAAAUGAGAGAAUGAGUCCGAGACUUAACAUUUAUAGGGACUUAAGGCGCGUCGGGUACGAACCAAAUAAAAACAUCGCGUCCGCGUCUAAGGCGCGUCGGGCACACACAAAUCAAAUAAGAUACUUCGCAUCCGCACCAAUCUCGGGAAUCAGCGAAAGGACCUUUCCACUUCUCGAGAAGGAAUCCCAACCGUCACACGCCAAGAGAAGAUGAAACGACAGAGUAAUUCAAAUCGCUAAAGGGACCGAACUAUUCAAAGUAAACGGCUCGGCCUAAUUGUCACAGCUCGUCACGCUCGGUUCUCCAAACUAACGAGCUGGGGGGCUAACUGUUGGGGUCGGAUUCCAUCCUUUAGCGCCAAGCCAGACUUAGAAUACUUCGGGAAUCUUUCGGCGAUCGCCUCGGGGUAUCGCAUCAUUCACCUCGGGAUAUCCAUCUAAUCGAUCUAGUAUACCCGAGCCCUUCGCCUCGGGAAUACCUUUAACAAGUAGUCUCGAGUACCCGAGCCCUUCGCCUCGGGGAUACUCGAAACUAGACGUUUCAAGCACCCGAGCCCUUCGCCUCGGGGAUGUUUGAACGUUACGUCUCAAGCACCCGAGCCCUUCGCCUCGGGAGUUUCUGAGCCCAUCGCCUCGGGGACACCUAAAUAAGCCAUCCCAGUCCUUCCUGUACCCGAGCCCAAUUGCCUCGGGGUACCCGAGCCCAUCGCCUCGGGGAUAUCCUGAACAAGACAUCAGAAGCACCCGAGCCCAAUUGCCUCGGGGGUACCCGAGCCUGGUCGCCUCGGGAGUAUCUGAGCCCAUCGCCUCGGGGACACCCGAAGAAGCCAUCCUAGAGUGCCCAAGCCAGUCCUUCCUGUGUACCCGAGCCGGUUGCACAAGCUCCCCGAGGCGAAGUCUUCAUCGCCCGAAGCAAAGACUUAGUAAAUAUUCUUCUUUAAAGGUAUCAUUUCCAAGCACAUUAUCAUUUCCAAAAAAGAAGGAUCAUUUCCGAUAAAAUCGGAAAUGAUAAGGAAGAAUCACAAAGGAUCAACUCAAAUCAGGAAAUCUUCCAAAAGACUCCGAAGAAUAAGGAAACUAUCCUAAUCCGCGAUAUUCUAAGCCGACUUCAAGAUAAAUGGAAAUCUUCCGAGAAUAUCGCUGGAGAGGCGGUUCAUCACCCCUAUAUAAAGAGACUCAAGGCUCUCGCAGAAGGGAGGCAAUAUCGCUCUAGAAUUUACACUACGCAAAGCCCUCACAGCACAAACAUCUUUUUUCUUUUACGAUCAAACUCUUGUACGAUCAAAGUCAUCUUUUUCUUAAUAAAAUCAAGAACACCAUCUUUGGUAUCAAUUGAUUCUGUCGUUCUUUGAGAAUUCUCGCAAAUCGUAUCCCUAAAUUAAAACCCUAGACAAAUCUCGAUUGUGUUAGUUUCGACUUCCACAAGGUUAAACUCAAUCGAGCAAACUCUAACGAGUGUUCAAACCACUCAAACAAAUUUGUCAAACGCGCAGAACGUUGUUUCAAGCCGUUUAGAUAAUUUGUCCUCAGCGCGAACAACAGCGUAUCAGCGCAGGCUAUUCCAGACUCCCACACAAAACAGAUCCGGGAGCACUCAAACUCCUCCUACAGGCCGUCCUGCUAGUACUAGCAAACAGACAACCGUAGGAGAUCGGUCCAAUCCAACCGGGGAUGAAAAUCCCCAAAAUCAGGGCAAUCCUGCUAUUGACGAAGGACUCCUUAUGGAAGAACCUGAUGUCAUCCUUUCCGAUGAUUUCGUCAAAGUUUGUCAAGAGCUUGAUGAGAUGAAGUCGAAGUUUCAUCAGGCGACCAGUUCGGCACCUGAGAUCGAUCGAGUAAUCGAAGAAACUCGACGAACACCCUUCAAUUCGAGAAUCUCGAACCUUCAGAGCAAAGAUUCUCGAAAGGUCAAAUUACCAACUUACGAUGGUAAAAGUGAUCCUAAAAAUUACCUCGCUGCUUUUCAGAUCGCUGCUGGCAGAAUUGAUCUAGAACCAGACGAGGAAGAUGACGGAUAUUGCAAACUAUUCUCUGAGAAUCUAUCCGGAUCGGCUUUAUUAUGGUUCACUUAGUUGGAGCCUGAAUCUAUUGAUAGUUUUAAGGAAUUGUCCUCCGCAUUCCUAAAACAGUAUUACAUGUUCAUGGAAAAGGCAACCUUUGAUGCAGAUCUAUGGAAUUUAACCCAAGGUCAGAACGAACCACUUCGCAAAUAUAUCGCUAAAUUCAAAGAAGUGAUAGCCAAAAUUCCUGGGGUGUCGCACGCUGCUGCCCUUUCUGCUUUAAGGAACGGACUUUGGCAUGAAUCCCGAUUUCGGGAAGAAAUCAUCGUCAAUCGUCCGAGCACUAUCCAAGAUGCUUUAUUCAGAGCUACUAAUUGGAUGGAGGAAGAAGAAGAAAAGCUUAGCCUCGCUAAAAAGCAUCGGCCAGCAAAAUUGGUCGUUGGAAAUCCAACUAAAAAAUUCGAACCAAAAGAUCAAAAAUGGUUCGGAGUUAAUCCUGCUACUAAUGCCGUAGGAAAACCCUCCCCAAACAAAGGAAGAUACAAUUCUUCUAAUAACUGGGUUAGAGAUGAGAGUGCCUAUUGCGAUAUUCAUAGAGUAAAUGGGCAUUCCACCAAAGAUUGCAGCGUACUCAAAAAGCACCUCACCGAACUAUGGGCGGCUGGAGAGCUCGCUAAUUUCAAUAUCGAGGAGUUUGUGGAAUCUUAUCAUAAAGAAAAAGAAUAUUUCGAAGCGUCCAAUCCUCCUGAAAAGAAACAUAAGCCCAAUGGGCCCGGAACUACAAACACUCCUAAGAAAAUGAUCGAUAUUAUAAUGGGAGGAUCCAAAUUAUGCCGAGAUUCGAUAAGAUCAAUCAAAAGGUACAAGAAAUCAGCAGCAAUUCAAACCGUUGUGGUCUUAAUUAGAGUGAAGUUACCACAGAAAUUGAAAUUGAUUCCGAAUUCCCAAAUCGAAAAGUAAAAAUCGGUACUAAUUUAGAUUCAGAAAUCAAAUAUCAGUUGGUAACAUUUCUGAAAGAAAAUAAACAUACUUUUGCCUGGUCGGCGAAAGAUAUGCCUGGAAUCGACAAAAGUAUCAUUACCCAUGAUUUAAACGUCGAUCCAGUUUUAAACCAAUAAAGCAAAAAACGAAGAAAACUUGGUCCAGACCGAGCUCAAGCGGUCAAUGACGAAGUUGAUAAGCUUUUGAAAAUUGGUUCCAUCAGAGAAGUGAAAUACCCGGACUGGUUAGCAAAGCCCGUGGUAGUCAAAAAGAAAAACGGAAAGUGGAGAGUAUGUGUCGAUUUCACCGACAUUAACAAAGCUUGCCCAAAAGAUAGUUUUCCUCUUCCACAUAUCGAUCGGCUCGUUGAGUCAACAGCCAGAAACGAACUCUUGACAUUCAUGGAUGCAUUUUCUGGAUAUAAUCAGAUCAUGAUGAAUCCUGAAGACGAAGAAAAAACUUCCUUCAUAACAGACAGAGGAAUCUACUGUUACAAAGUUAUGUCAUUUGGUCUAAAAAAUGCCGGUGCAACAUACCAACGUUUAGUUAACAAAAUGUUUUCAGAACAUUUGGGCAAAACGAUGGAAGUUUAUAUUGAUGAUAUGCUCGUGAAAUCUCUUAAGAAAUCUGAGCACAUCACUCAUCUUGAGCAGUGUUUCAAAAUUCUGAAUGAUUUCGGAAUGAAAUUAAAUCCUGCCAAAUGUUCUUUUGGUGUGCCUUCCGGAGAAUUCCUAGGCUAUAUAGUCACGGAAAGAGGAAUAGAAGCAAAUCCUAAUCAGAUUAACGCUUUCCUUACUAUGCCUUCGCCAAGAAACAUUAAGGAAGUCCAACGAUUGACAGGCAGAAUUGCUGCAUUAAAUCGUUUCAUAUCGAAGUCUACCGAUAAAUGUCUCCCUUUUUAUCAGAUUUUAAAAGGAAACAAAAAAUUUUGGUGGGAUGAUCAAUGCCAAGCGGCUUUCGAUCAACUCAAAACUUAUUUGACAACACCGCCGGUUCUCUCAAAACCUGAAUCGGAUGAAAAACUUUACCUUUACAUCUCAGUUUCUAAUCAUUCUGUAAGUGGGGUUUUAGUUCGAGAGGACUAAGGUGAGCAAAAGCCGAUUUUCUACAUAAGUAAAUCUCUAACUAGUCCAGAAACGAGAUAUACCAUGAUGGAGAAAUUAGCUUUAGCAGUGGUCGUAUCCGCUAGGAAGCUCAGGCCUUAUUUCCAAUCUCAUCCUAUAGAAGUACUAACUUCCCAUCCGCUUUGCUCAAUUCUUCACGGGCCAAGUCAGUCCGGUAGGUUAGCGAAAUGGGCAAUCGAACUCAGUGAGUACGAUAUAGAAUACAAAAGUCGAACUAGCGCAAAAGCACAAGUUCUGGCUGAUUUUCUAACCGAACUGCCACUAGAUGAUGGAAUCUCUAUUGAGACAGACUCUACAUGGAAAUUACAUGUAGAUGGAUCUUCUUCUAAACAAGGAUCCGGAAUCGGCAUUAGGCUCUAAACUCUGACAAAGGAAAUAAUCGAGCAAUCAUUUCGAUUAAUGUUUCCAGCUUCGAACAAUGAAGCAGAAUACGAAGCUCUUUUAGCAUGACUUCGGUUUGCUCUUGCGAUUAGAGCAGAAAAAAUAAUAGUUUGUUGUGAUUCUCAGCUAGUUGUAAACCAGUUUGCUGGAGAUUACGAAGCUAAGACUCCUCGAAUGGAAGCUUAUCUUUCGGCUGUCAAAAAAUUAGCCGGAAAAUUAAAAGAUUUCGAAUUAGUUCGAAUACCUAGAGGAGAAAACACUUCGGCAGACGCUUUAGCGGCCCUAGCUUCUACCUUAGAUCCUGAACUCAAACGAGUUAUCCCAGUUGAAUGUAUUUCUUCGUGAAGUAUUUCAGUUGAAGAAACAGAAAACGAUAACAUUUCGGAGGCCGAAUACAUCGAAACUCCAAAACAAAACUCCGGAAAUAGUUCACUUGUCAUCACCAGAUCACAGAUAAAGUCUCAAGAUGACAAACUUACUCCACCAUUGGAACUUCCUAAAAGACAGUCAAAAAGAAAGUUAAAGGAUCAAGAGGUUCCCAUUAAGGAACCGUCUCGAACCGAACAGUCACUUCCAGGUGAUGUAGAGGUUCAGGAGACAAUCGAAGAUCCUGAUAUUCCUUCCGAACCCGAACCAAGGAAGUUUAUACUCAAGGAUAAUACUUCCGCUAAUGAUUGGGGGGCUGACUGGAGGGUACCCAUAAAAAAUUUCAUUCUUAAUGGAGAACUACCAUCUAACAAAUGGUAAGCUCGCAAAUUAAAAAUCAUCAGCGCUAAGUAUUGUAUAAUUAAAGAAUCAUUGUACAAGCGAGGCGUCAGUGAUCCUUAUCUUUUAUGUAUUUUCGGACCCGAAGUUGAAAUAGUGACAAGCGAGGUCCACGAAGGGCUUUGUGGUAGUCAUUCUUCGGGACGAGCAAUGGCUUUCAAAAUCAAACGGUUAGGAUAUUUCUGGCCAACUAUGAUUUCAGACUGCAUUGAUUACGCCAAACGGUGUAAAAAGUGUCAGAUGCACGCUCCUCUUAUUCACCAGCCAUCUGAAAUUCUAUCACAUAUAUCCGCUCCAUACCCUUUCAUGAGGUGGUCAAUGGAUAUAAUCGGUCCGAUGCAUCGUUCAACACAAGGCGUCCAAUACUUAUUAGUUCUAACGGACUAUUUUUCCAAAUGGAUUGAAGCUGAAGCUUAUAUAAGCAUACAAGAUUCCGUAGUAAAGACAUUCUUGUGGAAACACAUUAUUUGUCGCUAUGGAGUUCCUUACGAAAUAGUAACGGACAAUGGUCCUCAAUUCAUUUCAAAUGAUUUUGAAGAUUUUUGUUCCGCUUGGGGAAUAAAACUUAGCUACUCAAUGCCGAGGUAUCCUCAAGGAAAUGGACAAGCGGAAGCCUCCAAUAAAACCAUUCUCAGCAAUCUUAAAAAACGCUUGAGUGCCCAAAAAGGUGGAUGGUAUGACGAGCUGCAACCUGUGUUGUAGGCUUAUCGAACAACCCCAAGGCGAGCAACGGGUGAAAUUCCAUUCUCAUUAGUUUAUGGGAUGGAAGCCGUAGUCCCAGCCGAGCUGAAUGUUCCAGGUUUGCGCCAAAGCGAAGCUCCACUUAACGAGGAAUCGAAUUCUAAAUUAUUAGAAGACGUUCUCGAUACAAUCGAUGAAAGGAGAGACCAAUCCCUUAUUCGACUUCAGAAUUAUCAACAGUUGACCGCUCGAUACUAUAACUCAAAGUUGAAAAACAGACCUUUAAAUGUAGGAGACUUUGUUUUAAGGCGAGUGUUCGAUAACACAAAAGAAGAAGGAGCUGGAAAACUCGGUAUUAACUGGGAAGGCCCUUAUCAAAUCCGCUCCUUGACCAGCGAAGUCAACGAUGCUCAUAAUGCAACCUGGCAUGUUUCCGUACUCUUGAAGUCCCAGUUUGAUCCAAUCGGAAGGAUGGGCUUCGAGGCAAUGAAGCUCGCGAGCAAUGUCAAGGCAACACUUCCCUAGUUCCCUUCUCUUCUUCCUAAUCUCCUUUUUCUCGUCCUCGAGCUCGUCAUGCCGAGUGAUAAGCUGAAGAAAAUAAAACGCUACGUUGAGUAAUAACAAAAAGAAGUUAAAUCACUAGGAUGAAAAAUACCUUGGUGAUAAACUCCUCGGCCUUAACACGAUCUUGGGCUGACAAUCUCUCGAUUAAUACGAUCGGAACCUGAAUGCUGGUUCCCUUCCUCAAUAUUCGUGACCCUUCCGGUUCGCCAGUUCUUCCCGUUUUUGUAAGCUCGAUGUCUGGUGCUCCCGGAAGAUCGUCACUUAUCAAUCUGGAUGAGUCAGAAGUUUUCUCUGAAGAAGUUCCCUCUUUAGACAUUUUUGUAGAAUUGUUGUUGAAAUUCAAUGAUAAACUACACCCACUUUAUACUCAAAAAUUUAUUCGAUUGCAUUUAAGAGGAUUAAUUGACGAUUUCCCAAAUCUAAAAUUACGACUUUCAUGGAAAAUGUAAUCGAGUUAAUUGCUAAUUAUAUUCCCUAGAUUAAACGCAUUAAAUGAGAUUUGAAUAAAUCGGCAAAUUUAAAGCAAAAGGAGGAAUAUAAUUAAUGUUGUUGGGUUUCAAGUCCAGUGACAUUUUACAAACAUAAAACGGAAAGUGUUCGAUUAAAAGUGUUCGCCCGAUAUUGACUCCAGCGAGGUGGAAGAUCCCGAACAGCUUUCUGAGGAUAGUCCCUCGUCAGAAGAUAAAUCAAAAGGGCCGGGGAAGUGAUCAACAAUUUUCAUCUUCGGUUCCUCUUUUUCUUCAGUUCUUAACAUCGGAAGUCUCCAAAACUCUGAGGAACAUGAAACAAAAGAGGACCCAUCGCUGGUCGCCAAGGAUAAACGAUGAAAUCUAUCCAGCAUGCGGAGGAAUCUUCGGAGACAAGUAGGCAUUAUGGCCACAAUGUCUAGACCAUUCCUCUCCCAUUCGUGCGGUUCAGAUUCCAGGCGAAGGAUCUCUCUUUCCAUCCUCUUUAUGCGCUCAUCAAGAGCACGGCGCCUCCUUCCGAUUCUUUGUCUCUUAUCACAUUAAGCUUUGUGUCUCCCGACAAUCUGUUUGAACAAACAUUUUGUCAAAUGACCAAAAGAAAGGAAGUUAUAGUUUUCUGAGAAGACUAAGAGUUAGAAAAGGAACCUUUUCCAAGAAGUCAUAACAUUUAACCCUUUUCUUCCCUGUUCGGAAAUGAAAAAACGUUGGGUGAAUAACUCCCUUUGGAGAGAAUCCGUCUUCAGACUCAAACAGUGGGUUCCCACCUGAAGUUGUUAUACUUGAGCUUGAUCUGAAAGAAGACAGCGACAUUUUUCAAGUUUUUUCUUAUAGUGAACUAUGGUGAUCUUUCGGAAUUCCUUUUGAAGGAGAAAGAGGUUCAGAUUUCUAAAAAUAAUUAUAUAUUGCUGGCCUGUUAGAGCAGGCUUCAGAUCCAAUUAAAACGCGGCCCAGCGAUUCCGAAGCCAUCAUGGGCAACGAUCAAAACCAUUGCCUGGUCAUAUUUAUGACAAAAUUCUCAUGAAUUAUAAAUCUUAUCCCUCGAUAUAAAAAAAAAAACUUAAGCCGAGCUCCAUCCUCGCCUUCGAGAGACCGAGGAAAAAUACUUAUUAAGAUUUUUUCUUUAAAAAAGGCAAGUGAGCCUGAUCAGCUCAUCUCUCACAAUUCAUAAAACCUCUUUGGCGGGCUAGGACUUGCAAACCUAGAAUCAUGUCCAAACGUUUUUGUUUAAAAUAAUCAUCAUAUGCCAGAGCAUGUACAUGGUUGUGUUCAGUCACACUAAUUGAACAAAAUAUUUCCGUCAAACGGAAUAAUCCUCAUGGACUCAACAAAACAAUUCUUAAAAAAAAAAAAGAGCGUUCCUACACCUCUGGAGAACCCUCAUGUGGCCGAGAACCUUCACCUACCUCGAAUUGAGAUGGAGAAUCUCCAAAUACCAAAGAAAAUUGUUUCAGAUCGAGAGUAGGACGGGAAGCCGAGGAUUACUCGGACUCAACCAUAGCGAGUUCGGCAGCAACUUCGCUCCUCCCGUUCUCGAACGAAACUNNNNNNNNNNNNNNNNNNNNNNNNNNNNNNNNNNNNNNNNNNNNNNNNNNNNNNNNNNNNNNNNNNNNNNNNNNNNNNNNNNNNNNNNNNNNNNNNNNNNNNNNNNNNNNNNNNNNNNNNNNNNNNNNNNNNNNNNNNNNNNNNNNNNNNNNNNNNNNNNNNNNNNNNNNNNNNNNNNNNNNNNNNNNNNNNNNNNNNNNNNNAACCUCGGGCUGCCUCCAGACAUUAAAAACAUGGCACUCAGCUGCAUGCUGCAGGUCGACUUAGACCCUCCCAUCUCUAUAGUCUCCAUAAACGCCUUCGGAGUAAAAAAAAAAACGUGUCGUUUAGACAAAAAGCUUUACCUAAGGAAGGAAGGUUGUCAUAAUCUAAAAGAUCCAAACCUGGGAUAGGUAGCAAGCUCGAUUGGCGAACAUCUGACGAAUUUCCGGCCUCCAAAUCGAAAAAGGAGGAAGGGACGCCCCUUCCCUGGUUUGGAAACUUCGGAAGAUGUCUCCAAUCUCUUCUCCGCCUGCGAAGCAGAGGAGAAUAGCAGAUUAAUAAAAUAGAUGCAAUCUGUAGCAAGUUUUGCUAAUGCUCGCUUUCUAAGUAAAAACUUACCUGAAAUCGAAGCGGGUAAAGGAUUUUGAGUCCUAACACUCAGUCCUUGAGAUAGGGGAGCCUCCGGUCUCGGCUCAUCUAUUUCCUCUGAAAUUACUUUGUCCUCCGGAAGAGGGAGCUCGGAGUUUAAAGGUUCUAAAGAGGGAGAAACAGAACGUAGAGGGCUAGAGACUCGUGGCGGAGAACUUAAUCUCAUGGUUUUAAGUCUCUCGUUUGAUAGAUUAUCGAAAUCUGGAGCCUUCCUCUUUGUACAAGGAGAGGAGGUUAUUUCUCCCUCACACCCUGGUUCGGAAGGGCAAAUUGCGGUGGCAACUGGAGGGUCGUUAAGGAUCUCGGCUCCAUUAGUAUCCACCGCGGCUGACAGGGCUGCUUCUAAUGAAGUCAUCAACCAAGAGGGUCUUCCUGUGGAAGUUACCAACCCUGGAGAUUGCAGUUAUCCGUUUCUUUCUCCCGAUUUCGGAUAGCUGAUCCUUAAGAGCCUUGAUUUCAGCCUGCAUCUUUCUUUUAUCUCGAGCAUUCAGGCUCGAGACGUCUUUAUCCUCGAGAGGAGGAUCGAGGGGGUGAGUCUGACCGUCUUUAAUGGCGAGCCCCACUUUAUGAAUGCGUUGAAGGGUGAAGGAAUUCCAAUUUGUUUCACCCUCGGAAACGAUUCGAAAGAAGGACAAGAAGUCAACGGUUGGGAGAGUGAUCGUCUGGUUCCCUGAAACAAAGUAUUGGGUUAAGAAUUCUAUCUCUUUUACAUAAUACAGUGGAAAGUAAUAAAGGUUGGAUUUUUAACCAAGUUUAGCCGACCAAUUGGCGAGAAGAAGACCGGAAAGACCUUGAACGGAAUGGGGAUUGACUCAGAAAAAGAACCAGUAUUUCCUCCAAGGCCCAUCAUUCGAGGGCAUUCCAUCGAUCAGGUUACGGUCAAGGAUAGGGUUUAUAGAAAAAAUACCCGCUGCUACGGAUUCACGGGCUCGAAAUAGCUCUAAGAGUUCACUGGUGGAGAGGGAAAACCCUGCUUCUGCCAAAACAGUCAGGGUGCUCAGAACGUAUCGAAGAAAGUUGGGAGCCAUUUGGGGAAAGGCAAUCCCUAGGUGGAGGAGGUAUAAAAGAAGAACUUCCGGUACGGGAAAAAACAAACCACAACCUUUGAAAUAGACUUCGUACGCACAACAGUAACCCUCUCGGACCACUUCCGGAGACUCGUUGGGUCUAGGAAGAGAGAAUUCAAUUUCCUGGGGGAUGUUACAAAGUCAGCGAAGAGCGCCAAGGGAAGCAGAGGUCGACUGAAACCUGAAAUGCGGACCAAAUUUGUCUCCCCUUUGGGUGAAGACUUCAUCCCCUCUGGGAACAGGGAUUACUACUUGACUGUCAACUUCGUUUUCUGAAACAUAGACGGCUGGGGAAGACAUCUUUUACUAAGAGGUUUCUUUUUCUGGUUUGGUAAAAGCUUUUAGAGGUAAAUGUACACUGCUGUAAAAGCCGUCGUUCCAUUUAACCUUAUUUAGCAGAAAACCGCCUCGAGAAUAUUGGGAAGUGGGAUGGUUUUUCUCGCAGUAUUAAUAUAAAAUUAGAAAAUUAAUGAUGACGGUUGUCAGGGAUAUCAAAUCAUUUGAUUAUCCGAGAUCGGCGUAAUAGCGUAAAACAUGGAAUAAUUUCGGAAUGUUAAAGAUCUCGAGUCAUUAAUUAUUGUUUACUUAAGUCUUCCAAGCCGAGCACUCAGCUCGCAAGACUUGGGGGGCUAAAUGUUGGGGUCGGAUCCCACACAUCUUCGGUAGGAUCCACUUGGAUCUGUCCACGUCAUUAUUACAUAAUAAUCCUCUUGGAUUUCUAGAUGUUUCAUUGCGAGAAUCGAGCUCGACCUGUCGGAAGUUCGAUUCAGUUUAUUAAAGAGCUCGAUCUUUACCAGUACGGAGUUCGUUCUUAUUCAACAUAUAGUUCGCAUAAAAGAAGGCCGAAGCGAGGAGAAUAUUGUUCGAGGUUCGCGGCAGCGUCAAGACGCUGGAGUUAGGAGUCAACAAGAAAGAGUUCGGAAGAUCCACGCGAAGCCCAAGAUAGUUCAAAUUCAAGCCGUUUCGGUCAAAUUGUAACCUACAUGAUUAAUGCGGAUCAAUGCGAUUAUGAGCAGUAAAUGACCGCAUUGAUCAUGUUUUCUCUAUAAAAACAACCUCAAACGCAUGUGUUUGGCAGAGAACAACUUUUUACCUCUUACGAUCAAGCAAUACAACAUACUCUUUCUUUUACAAUUUCAGAAGGCUUUUUACUAUUUUAUUCUUGCCAAACUCUUUCGCUUUAUUUAGUUUCUUGGUUACUUUCCUUUUCAAAUCAUUAUUUUCAUUUGUUGAUUUUAGAGUUUUUAUCCACAAAAAUACUUAAAGACAAUCGAGUGUGAAUCCUACAUCCACACUCAUCGUUUACAAAUGAGCAAUGGAAGGCUAUUGAGCAGAUGGCUAGUGAAAAAAGCAACGACAACUCCGACAAGCUCUCCGGUAAGUUGGUCUCUGGUAAGAUUUAUGAGGACAUGAUCCUCGACACUGGAGCUUCCCAUCAUAUGACUGGGAAUCUUUCACUGUUAGUCAACAUUACUCCUAUCUCUAUUUGCUCAAUGGGUUUUGCUGAUGGGAGUAAAACAGUUUCAGAAAGUAUUGGCGUGUUCCGAGUUUCAGAUAAAAUCACAUUAUAUGAUGUGUUAUAUGUUCCUGACCUCAAUUGCUCUCUUUUAUCCGUCUCGAAGCUACUCAAACAAAUUCAAUGUGUGGCAUUAUUUACUGAUACAUUAUGUGUUUUAUAGGAUCGUUUUUCGAGGACGCUGAUUGGAGCCGGGAAAGAGCGUUUUGGGGUCUACUACUUUACGGAUGUGGCAGCCGUAGGGGGUAACAAGGUUGAAGCGCAGGGUGAUUCGACUUUGUGGCAUCGUCGGCUGGGACAUCCUGCUUAUUCAGUGUUUUCGUCUUUACCUAUGAUUUCUAGGAUUUGUAAAUUAGCUAGUCCGAGUCCUUGUGACAUGUGUUUUUGGGCUAAGCAAACACGAGAAGUUUUUUUCUGAAAGUUCUAACAAAGCUAUGGAUUGUUUCUCAUUAAUUCAUGUGGACGUAUGGGGACCAUAUCGUGCAUCAGCCUCUUGUGGAGCUGUGUAUUUUUUUACUAUCGUAGAUGAUUUUUCUAGAGUGGUAUGGACAUAUCUCUUACUAGAAAAAUCUGAAGUUAGACGUGUUCUACAAAAUUUUUGUGUGUAUGCCGAGAAACAAUUCGCGAAAUCAGUUCAUAUGGUACGAAGUGACAAUGGUAAGGAAUUCAUGUGUCUUUCUGCCUAUUUUAAGGAGAACGGUAUUGUUCACCAAACCUCGUGUGUUGACACUCCUCAGCAAAAUGGAAGUGUCGAGAGGAAGCAUCUUCAUAUUUUAAUGUUGCUCGGUCACUUCUCUUUCAAGCUAAUCUAGCGGUUAUUUUUUCAGGGGAAGUAAUUUUAGCGGCUGCCUAUCUUAUUAAUAGGACUCCGUCAAAGGUUCUUAACGGGAAGACACCGUAUGAACUUCUUCAUGGUGUACCGCCAUCGUAUGAUCAACUAAGAGUAUUUGGUUUUCAUGUUUAUACUCACAAGCGCUUAAGAGACCAAGAUAAAUUUGGACCACGGAGUUGGCAAUGUAUUUUUAUGGGCUAUCCGUUUAGUAAAAAAGGCUGGAAAGUAUACGAUAUGGAAACAAAUGAGUUUUUAGUGUCUCGAGAUGUGGUAUUUCAAGAAAAUAUUUUUCCUUACCACAAAGAAACGGAUGAGCAGGCGCCUACUCAUGAGAUUGUUGAUGAAGAUUGGGUCAUUGAUUUGUCACCUGCUCUUGUAGAAAGGGGGAGUGAGUCUUAACACGAGCAUGUCACGGAUGAGACUCCGGUUUUGAAUACACCAUCAACUCCACCAAUCUAUAAGGGUACAGAUUUAGAUUUGGAAACGACACAAACUUCACAAGUUUCACCAGAAGUGUCAUCGGAUCCAGUACCUGCUGUUUCCUCGCCAUCAUCUAGCUUACAAACAGCAGAGAUUGAAGAUUUGGGUCAAGGAAAACGAAUUUUGGGAUUGUUCAAUCAUAUUCGGACUAUUCGCUUUUCACACUCUCGUGUGCCGGAGUUGAACUUUAGGUUUUGAUUUAUGUUAACGAUUUGUUGAUUUGUGGUAACGAUUCACGUAUGAUUCAAAGCUUUAAAGACUAAUUGGGAAGGUGUUUUCACAUGAAAGACUUAGGAAAAGCAAAAUAUUUUCUUGGGAUAGAAAUUGCUAGGAGUUCCGAAGGCAUUUAUCUCUCUAAGCGUAAAUAUGCACUUGAUAUAGUAACCGAGGCUGAUCUUCUUCAUUCACGACCUUCUUCCACUCCGAUUGACCAGAAUUAUAAAUUGGAGAUGAAUGAGAGUGAGCUUCUUCCUCGUCCUGAAGAGUACAUGAAGUUAGUUGGGCUUUUGAUCUAUCUUCUUUCUACUCGACCAAAGUUGUGCUACUCGGUUCAUAUAUUGUCUAUGUUUAUGCAAGCUCCACGUGUUGAUCAUUGGAAUGCGGUGCUCCGUGUUGUGCGUUAUUUAAAAGGCUCUCCAGGUCGAGAUGUAUUACUUAGCUUGGAUUCUGACCUCACUCUCAUGGCUUAUUGUGAUUCUGACUUUGCCACAUGCUCUACGUCUCGACGAUCGUUAAGUGGCUAUGUGAUGUUUGUGGGUGGCUCUCCCAUUUCAUGGAAGACAAAGAAACAAAAGAACCUUGAUACUAAACCAGAUCGAGCCCGGGAUCUUCUUGAAAAUGGGAAGAACGUUGUCUCUCAUUCCUCCCACUACAGGAAAUGUGGGUAUUAAUAGCGUAAGAGCAUAGCGUUUUGAAUGUUUAUGCUAUAAUAGAGUUUUGAAAAAUUUUAGAUAGCGUUUGGAGAAAGGCAAACACUAUAGUAGGUUGAGUGCGAAAAAUAUUUCAGAGUGGCGCUUAGUAUUUGGUCUAUGAUAGCAUAGAUGUAAAUUAAAACGUUAUUAUAGGUAUAACCGGGAAACUAAAAUUUUAUUGGCUCCAAAAAUUUUACUAAGUAACAAAAUAAUAAAAGAAAACAAAGAAACAAUAAGUUAAAAAAAAAAAAAAUUAGGGCUAUCGAUCCUUCUCACAUCUUUCUUCUUUCUUUCCUCUUCUCACAUCUUUCUUCUCUGUCUCGAGACUGAUCCGUUCUUUCUCCCUGAAAGACCAAAUAUGAACACCAAAUGAAACCCAAUUAGUUUCUCUUCCACUAUCGAUCCCUAAUUUUGUCUAAUCCCUCUCAGAUCAAAAUCCCUCUCAGUCAAAAUCUCUCUAGAUCUCGAUCGUAUGUUUCUUAAUCGUCACAGACAUCAAUCGAAAUCAAAUUGGUUAGUAUAUGUAUGGGUGUUCGAUAUUCUCAAUGAUUUAGUUUUUAUUCAUGUUAGGGUUUCAUCUGUUUUUGUUGUUUUUGAAGUAAUUGGGUUUUGGAUUGUUGUUUGUGUGAUUUGAAUCGUGUUUCUUUCUUCUUAUGUGAGUUUGGGUGUUCGACUUUCAAUUUGUGUUUUCGAUUGAUUUAUGUCUGAGUUUAGAUUCAUUACAAGAUAGUCUAUUUACUAGAUUCUUUACUAGAUAAUGCAUGUAUCGAUUGAUUUUUGUCCUGAGUUUGGAUAGAGUAGAAAAGUUUCUUGCUCUCAUAUAAAGAUGCUAAUUUGGUUUCCUAGCUCUUGUCUCUAGUUCUUACCGGUCGCUGCCACUGCUCUCAUGAUUAUUGAUGUCUCAUGUAUCUUUUUCUGAUGUGUAGUUGGAUUUGCGGAUCUGUAUGGAUUUGAAGUACAAGAGGAAUCCAUAUGCUUCAGACAUUGAGUAACUUUAAGGACGGUGAAGUCGUGCUUCUCCAGGAUAUCUGCAGAAAGGCAAGUGAUUGAAGAAUAAUACGAACAAAGCCUUGAGAGAAUGUCAUGAUUAUUUAUUCUUUGUUUGGUUGUUCUGUUUCAGGUUGCGAUUCAUCUUAUGGUUAACCAACUUCUUGGAGUGUCAAGCCAAUCAGAUUUUAGGGAAAAGUUAGAGGAUGCUGAAACUGCACUAUGUAUACUCAACGUGUCACAAGUACAACAAGGUCUCUGAAAUUUAUGUCGCUGUUUUAAGUGUCGAAGACUGGUGUUCAAAAAAAAAAAAAAAAAAAAAGAGAAAGUGUCGAAGACUUUGUUUUAUUUUGGUAUGCACUUCUCUAGACUUUGUUUUAUUUUUAUGUCGAACAAUAUAUGUAUGCACUUCUCUAGACUUUGUUUUCUCAUGUUAAUAAAUUUUAAUUCAUAAUUAUUCGUAUACGUUUGAUAGUUUGUUAAUAAUAUACUAUCA